This 44601-nucleotide long non-coding RNA is filed under the name Solanum lycopersicum (tomato). RNAcentral describes it as "long non-coding RNA (SLYC_LNC000908)". Lineage: Eukaryota; Viridiplantae; Streptophyta; Magnoliopsida; Solanales; Solanaceae. The record is from RNAcentral.
AUUUCAAAGAUUACACGGUCCUGUCGGCCAAGGCUAUAAGCUCGUUGAAUAAUCAGUGUAGCGCACGUGCGGCCCAUAACAUCUAAGGGCAUCACAGACCUGUUAUUGCCUCAAACAUCCGCGGCCUAAAAGGUUGUAGUCCCUCUAAGAAGCUGGCCGCGAAGGGAUACCUUCGCAUAGCUAGUUAGCAGGAUGAGGUCUCGUUCGUUAAUAGAAUUAACAUGACAAAUCGCUUCACCAACUAAGAACGGCCAUGCACCACCACCCGUAGAAUCAAGAAAGAGCUCUCAGUCUGUCAAUCCUUACUAUGUGUGGACCUGAUAAGUUUCCCCGUGUUGAGUCAAAUAAAGUCGCAGGCUCCACUCCUGGUGGUGCCCUUCCGUCAAUUCCUUUAAGUUUCAGCCUUGCGACCAUACUCCCCCCGGAACCCAAAAACUUUUAUUUCUCAUAAGGUGGCGGCAGAGUCCUAAAAGCAACAUCCAUCGAUCCCUGGUCGGCAUCGUUUAUGGUUGAAACUAGGAUGGUAUCUGAUCAUCUUUGAGCCCCCAAAUUUCAUUCUUGGUUAAUGAAAAUAUUCUUGGUAAAUGCUUUCACAGUUGUUCAUCUUUCAUAAAUCCAAGAAUUUCACCUCUGACUAUGAAAUACGAAUGCCCCUAACUGUCCUUGUUAAUCAUUACUCCGAUCCUGAAGGCCAACGUAAUAUGACCAAAAUCCUAUAAUUUUAUCCCAUGCUAAUGUAUACAAAGCGUAGUGUCAUGGACUUUUUGAUUCGGACAAUACUCCGUGCGGCACUUGACGGUACUCACGAGUCUUGCACGUUCUUGCAAACUCAAGUUAGCCUCUCACUCGGAUCACUAAGAAAAUAAGAAGUAGACAGAAUUUUGGAAGAAGGAACUUCUAUUACUUGCUGAAACUAUAGGAUUCUUUACAAGUAAAAUGAACUACUAUUUAUACUACUCUAAUGCCUAAGAGUUAGUAAAUGCUACACUAUACAAGUUCCUAAGUCUAUGCCUACAAGACAUGCUUCUAAGUCUUCCAAAAAGGACUCCUAGAUGCUCCUAGUCUGCCCUAACGCAUAGAGGCCUUGAACAAGCCUCUUCAAUGCUUGUAACUGCCGCCCCACUACCUGUUGUGACAGCUGUAACGGCUGUAACUGCCGUAACAGCUGAAACUGUUGUAACGGCUGCCUCUGCAACUGCUGCCUGCCCAUUGGCCUGCUAGCCGGCUUGGGCUGUCUGCCCACUUGCGCCUGCUGCUGGCUGCCAGGUUUGGUGGCGUUCUGCGUGGAUGGAUGGAGGGACGUCACAAUCUCCCCCACCCAUGAUUCGACGACCGCGAUGCAUUGCUGCAAGAACUCCUGAAUUUUGUCUUUGAAAUGCCACAAGUCUUCGUACUAUUCCCAAGUGGCUUCUUCAGGAUGUUGUCCCUUCCAAUGUACGAGAGACAUGGCACUGGCCUGCUGUCCUCGUUUCUGUUUGGCUUGGUAAUCUAUUAUAGCUUCAAUUUCUCGAUCAUGGGAGGCAGUAACGGUGAUAGGGGCCCGUUGUGAUUUGUUUUGGCUGGGAUCGUCCUUAUCGUCAUGAUAAGUCUUAAAAACGCUUGCAAGAAAGACCGGGUGGAUCCUUAAGUGUGGAGGUAACUCCAACUUGUAUGAAGUUUUACCCACCUUGGCAACAAUUUUGAAAGGACCCUCAUAUUUCUGCACCAAAUUGUGAUGUACGCCUCUAUGUGCCUUAAACUGCCUCAGAUUAAAAUUUACCAAAACCUGCCACCUUGCCCAAAAAAGAUUUAGCAAGGUCGAGUUGUUCUUCCCAACCCUUGGCAAGGUUGUAAGCGCCCAAACUCUUCCCUUCAAAACAGGUUGGCAGUAAGUGCGGAGUUUGGGGUUGCUGGCCUAUUGCUAACUCGAACGGUGUGCGCCCUGUAGAUUCACUCCUCUGCAAAUUGUAAGAAAAUUGCGCCAUGUCUAGGAGCUUAGCCCAAUCUUUCUGAUGUGCACUGACAUAGUGCCUAAGAUAGCAUUCGAACAAGGCGUUGACGCGUUCAGUUUGGCGAUCAGGUUAGGGGUGGAAACUGGUGGAGAAGUGAAGUUUUGAACCAAGAAUUUCAAAGAGUUCACUCCAAAAGUUCCCUGUGAAACGAGGAUCCCGAUGGCUAAUGAUGAACCUCGGCAGCCCCCAAUACUUCACAACAUUUUUGAAAAACAAUUGUGCAGCUUCCUUAGCAGUACAACCAGCUGUGGCAGGCAUGAAAGUAGCAUACUUGGAGAAUCUAUCCACUACGACCAUAACCGUGCCAAACCCGUUUGACUUCGUCAAAGAAGUGAUGAAAUCCAUAGAUAUACUCUCCCAUGGACGAUCCAGCUAUGGGUAAUUGCUCCAACAGCCCUCCUUGUUGCCUUUUCUCCACCUUGUCUUGCUGGCACACAAGAAAAGUCUGCACAUACUGCUCGAUUUCUUCCCGCAUUCAUGGCCAGAAAUAGAAGGCCUCCACUAAUGCCCUCGUUCUCUUCUGUCCAGGAUGCCCAGCCCACGGAGUGUUGUGGCUUUCUUUGAUAAUUCGCCGCCUGAUGAAUCCAAACUUUGGUACAUAAAUCCUCCGGCAUGUGGUAAUAAAGAAUCCGUCUUCUACCAAAAACCGUUUGGUUUGGCCUUGAUAAGCCAACUGCAUAAUCUUUUUUGGCUCCCGUAUCGCAUUGCAUACCAUCUUUGAUUGCACUUUCAAAUUCACUACGGACUGAGGAGAUGGCUGCUAAAUCAGUCUUCCUGCUCAAUGCAUCAGUUACCACAUUGCCCCUUCCUGGUUUGUACUCCAAGUUGUAGUCAAAUUUGGCCAAGAAUUCCUGCCAACGAGCCUGCUUUGCUGUGAUCUUCUUCUGUGAUUGAAAAUAGCUAGUGGCAACGUUGUCGGUUUUCACUACAAAUUUGGAGCCUAGUAGAUAGUGUCUCCAUGUACGUAGACAAUGCACAAUGACCAUCAUCUCCUUCUCCUGCACAGUGUACUGUCGUUCAGCUUCAUUCAGCUUCCGGCUUUCAAAAGCUAUGGGUGCUUCUCCUGCAUAAAGACUCCCCCAAUGGAAAAAUUAGAAGCAUCCGCAUGGAUCUCGAAGGUCUUGGUGAAGUCAGGCAGCAUCAAUACCGGUUCUUCAGUAACCGCAGCCUUUAGACCUUCAAAUGCUUCCUGGCACUCCUCGCUCCACAGCCAAAGCCUGUUCUUCUUCAGCAGCUCGGUCAGUGGGGAAGCUAUAGUGGAGUACCCGCUAAUGAACCUGCGAUAAUAAUUAGCAAGUCCAAGAAAAGAACGUAGCUCGGUCACUUUCGUCGGCGCUUCCCAAUCUUGGAUCGCCUUUACCUUUGCCUCAUCCAUACGAAGUUCACCUUGGCUGAUCACAUGGCCCAAGAAGUGUAUCUUUGGUUGGGCGAACUCGCACUUCUCCCACUUGACAUAAAGCUGAUUCUCCCGCAAGACUUUGAAGACCUUCUUCAAGUACUCCACAUGUUCCUGCAAUGUGCUACUAUAGACGACUAUUUCAUCUAAGUACACUACAACGAACUGGUCCAAGUAGGGACAUAAAAUCUCGUUCAUCAGAGUGCAAAAUAUUGUAGGUGCGUUGGUUAAGCCGAAGGGAAUCACUAACCAUUCAAAUUCUCCAUACCUGGUCACGCAUGCUGUCUUUGGCUCAUCCCCUCUGCAAUGCGCACUUGAUAGUAGACUUUCCGAAGAUCCAUCUUGGUGAAGUACUUGGCCUCUCCAAGACGAUCAAACAAAUCUGCGAUCAGCGGGAUUGGAUACUUCUUCCGAAUAGUGAUCUUGUUGAGAGCUCUGUGGUCAAUGCAUAGACGCAUCGAUCCAUCUUUCUUUUUCUGAAACAGCACCGACGCUCCAUAGGGUGCCUUGGAUGGACGAAUGUGACCUGCUUCGAGGAGCUUUUUCAACUGCUUCCUCAGUUCCUCUAACUCAGGCGAAGCCAUGUGAUAAGGUGCAAGCGCAGGUGGCUUGGCUCCCGCCUCAAACUCGAUCAUGUGGUCUACCUCACGCCUUGGAGGUAGAGUUUUUGGCAGCUCCUCCGGCAUCACAUCACUGUUUUCCUGCAAAACAGUUUCUAUGAUAGGUGGCAAUGGCUCCAUAGCACCAUGGUCUUCACCCGAACUUGCGAUGGUGACUAAGAAGGUUGGUGCUCCUUUCUUCAGGCCCUUCACAAUCUGCAUGGCCGACAAUUUGGCAUAUCCGUCUUUGUUCGGCACCCUAACAAGAGGCACCAUACAAGACCCUUCCCCUUCCAUCACCAUGAGUUGUUGAAGGUAGGGAUCAAUCAUCGUGUGGCAACACUGAAAGAAUUCCUGUCCAAGAAUAACAUUGGAUAUGUCCAAAGGAGCUACGGUAAAAUUCGUAUUACCUCUCCACCAUCCUAAAGUGAUGCUGACCCCAUGAGCAAUUCGACACACGAGAGUUGGUGGGGCGUUGACCGUCUUGAGGCGAUUGUUACUUGGAACAAUUUUCAGUCCUAAUUUCUCUGCCGCCGUCUUGGUCAUGAUAUUAGCUUCAUCCCCGGAAUCUACCAUGGCCCGAACUAGGUUCCCAUUGAUGGAGAUAUCCAUAUAUUGCGUACUGAAAUCCCUCGGGUGGAAGGCCUGUUUGGCUAUGGCUCCACAGAUUCCAACCAUGCCCAACUGAAGGGUGUCUGCCGAUUUCGCCUUGUCUUGUGCCUCCUUUUCCUUCUGCUCACGAACGAUGGCACUAAGGCUCUUCAUAUCUGGGCACCUGGCAUAACCGUGUGGUCCGCCGCAUAUAUAGCACCUGUCUCCAUUGCUGGAAUGCGUCCGCUUCUCCGAGUACUUCUGACGUUCAAACCGUCUGCCAUCGGGCUUGGGCGUGUCUCUACCUCGGCCACGGUCUCCCCCGCCUUUAGCUUGACUGCCCCUGCCUCCUUGCCCUUCGCCUUGUCCAAACGAUCAUGUUUGAAAUCUGUCAAGGUUUCGGCUUGAGUGAUGGCCUCAUCAAUGAUUUUUACUUGACGCCGCUCUAACUCGGUCCUCGCCCAAUUCUGCAGCCCGUCCAUGAAGGUGAACAACUAUCAUCUUCCGUGAGUUAGGGAAUUUUGAGGGUCAAGAUUGUGAACUCUUUCAUAUAUGCCCUAAUACUUCCCGUCUGCUUCAACUCCUGGAGUUUGCGUUUCAUUUCAUAAAUAGCAUUGUUGGGGAAGAAAGCUUUCUUGAAUUCCUCAAGGAAUUCUUGCAAUGUAUUGAUGGUGCGUGUGCUCCUCUUGAUCUCGGCAUCUUUGCGUUUCCACCACAACAUGGCUACAUCCAAAAGAUACAACACGGCAGUGUUGAUCUUGUUUGCAUCGCUCCUGACCCGAUUACACCUGAAAUAAUUUUCCAAGUGCCAUAGGAAAUUUCCUACCUCUAGGGCGUCGUGGACACACUUGAAUGUUGGUGGCUUGGGAACCUCGACUCUGGACUCCCUUUCCUGGCCAAGUGAUGUUGAUGCUCUGACCUCCCUCUCUUCUUCUAGAGCUUCUACCUUGUUCUUCAGCGUCUGGAUCGUCGUAAGGGCGUCCAAAAAUCUGAACUCCAAGGAAUUAAUGGUUUCCUUCAUCGCUAAUACAGACCGCUUGCGUACCUCCAACUCCUUCCGAAUGGCGUCAACUUGCUCAAGGGAGUGCUCUCCAGGUCUUUGACAUCACUGUCCAACCCAUUCAAGCGCUGGCCUAAAAUCUCAACAGCUAGCCUUGCCCUCUCGACGCUUGCAAGACAUUCAUGUCCAAAAGUGACGUCGAUGGUAUCUUCGUUGUCGUCGUCGUCACUUCCAUCGACAAUAUUAUACUAGAAAGAUGUUUGUCCAUCGCUUGGUGGAGGAACAUCUGGUGGUAGACCGCCUGAUGGAAGACCGCCUGGUGGAAGACAGCCUGGUGGAAGACUGCCUGAUGGAAGACCGCCUAGUGGAAGAUCAGUUGGUGGAGGAUCAGUGGGUGGAAGAUCGGGCAGAUUGCACAGAUUGGGUUCAUUUCCCUUCUGAUGCUUCUUCCCUUUCUUGUUCUUCUUUACUACCUGAACGUUAGGGGUGUUGCUAGCGCCGCUUCCGUCUCCUUCGUUCGCCAUUCUAUUACGAUGAACCUGCUCUGAUACCAAUUGUCACGGACUUUUUGAUUCGGACAAUACUCCGUGCGGCACUUGACGGUAUACUCACGAUUCUUGCACGUUCUUGCAAACUCAAGUUAGCCUCUCACUCGGAUCGCUAAGAAACUAAUAAGUAGACAGAAAUUUGGAAGAAGGAACUUCUAUUACUUGCUGAAAUUAUUGGAUGCUUACAAGUAAAAUGAACUACUAUUUAUACUACUCUAAUGCCUAAGAGUUAGUAAAUGCUACACUAUACAGGUUCCUAAGUCUAUGCCUACAAGACAUGCUUCUAACUCUUCCAAAAAUGACUCCUAGAUGCUCCUAGUAUGCCCUAACGCCUAGAGGCCUUGAACAAGCCUCUUCAAUGCUUGUAACUGCCGCCCCACUACUUGCUUUAACAGCUGUAACUGCCGUAACUGCUGAAACUGUUGUAAUGGCUGCCUCUCCAACUGCUGCCUGCCCCUUGGCCUACUGGCCGGCUUGGGCUGUCUCCCCCUUGCGCCUGCUGGUGGCUGCCAGGUUGGGUGGCGUUCUUCCUGGAUAGAUGGCGGGACGUCACAGUAGGCUUUCAUUGAGCACUCUAAUUCUUCAAAGUAACAGCGUCGGAGGCAUGACCCGACCACUAAAUGCCAUGAGCGCAUCACCCGACAGAAGGGACGAGAUGACCGGUGCACAUCUAGGGUGGACCGGUCGGCCCAUCCCAAAGUCCAACUACGAGCUUUUUAAUUUCAACAACUUAAAUAUAUGCUAUUGGAGCUGGAAUUAUCGCGACUGCUUGAACCAGACUUGCCCUCCAAUAGAUCCUCGUUAAGGGAUUUAGAUUGUACUCAUUCCAAUUACCAGACUCAUGGAACCCAGUAUUGUUAUUUAUUGUCACUACCUCCCCGUGUCAGGAAUGGUUAAUUUGUGCACCUGCUGCCUUCCUUGGAUGUGGUAGCCGUUUCACAGGCUCCCUUUCCAGAAUCGAACCCUAAUUCUCCGUCACCCGUCACCACCAUGGUAGGCCACUAUCCUACCAUCAAAAGUUCAUAGGGUAAAAAUUUGAAUGAUGCGUCGUCGGCACGAUGGCCGUGUGAUCCGUCGAGUUAUCAUGAAUCAUCGCAGCAACUGGCAGAGCCCGCGUCGACCUUUUAUCUAAUAAAUGCAUCCCUUCUAGAAGUCGGUGUUUGUUGCACGUAUUAGCUCUAGAAUUACUACGGUUAUCCGAGUAGUAGAUACCAUCAAACAAAGUAUAACUAAUUUAAUGAGCCAUUCGCAAUUUCACAGUCUGAAUUUGUUCAUACUUACACAUGCAUGGCUUAAUCUUUGAUGCAAGCAUAUGAUUACUGGUAGGAUCAACAAGGUAGCAUUCCUCAAAAAACGUCACGCGCCGCAUGAGACCGGCGUGCCCUUUCAGUCACGGUCGGGUCUAAGUAGAGCGCGAUGGUUAUUCACAAGGAGCAUUCGUUUUGGGCAGAUAGAAGCUGAUGAAGGCCCCAUGCCCACUAUAUCUACCGUAUCUGAGAAUUUGAGGCGCCGCUCACGGACCACGCCAUUGUACAACGAAGCGAGGGAAGGCGUGGGACGCGGAAGCGUCUUUUGGGUUCACCCCGCACUUGAGACUCGAAGGGAGAAAGGCGACCAUUUGCACGUGCACAAUGCCUAGGCAUUAGGUAUGCAGCAUAGGAUUCCGACAUCCAACAAUCCUAGAUUGUGCUUCAUCCACCACCGAAUUGGCAUGUGAGUUAAGACGUCACUUCUCGAAACAGGGAUCCAACCUACCAACAAAUUCCCAAUACCACUCAUGCACCAUAGCUGAAUAUCUCUGUCAAUGCACACUCGACAUUCACCCUGACGCCCGACAUGAGAUGUCAUGUGAAGACUCUGAUGCCUUCUUUGCAAGGCCAAUGCUACACCCGCCCUUGCACUCCUACCCAAGGGAGUUGAGAAUUUAAUCACUGCAAUGAUUGUUGGAGGAAGACCAAGGUUCACACAAGGGAACCGCCCACGACGUCGUUCGACCGUGUGCGCUGUCCAAAGGCGGUGAUAGCAUGCCAUGCCCGACGUCGUUUGACCGUGUUUGCCAUUCAAGGGCAAUGAUGGCAUUCUAUGCCCGAAGUCGUUCGACUGUCUGUGCUGCCCAAAGGCGAUGAUUGCAUGUCACGAUCGACGUCGUUCGACCGUGUGUGCUGUCAAAAGGCGGUGAUGUCAUGCCACGCCCGACGUCGUUCGACCAUGUGUGCUGCCCAAAGGCGAUGAUGGCAUGCCACGCCCAACGUCGUUCGACCGUGUUUUUCAUCCAAGGGCGAUGAUGGCAUGCCAAGCCCGAUGGCGUCCGACUUUGUGAGCUAGUCCAAAGGCGAUGAUGCCAUUCCACGCCCGACGUCGUUCGACCGUUUGUACUGCCCAAACGCGAUGAUGGCAUGCCACGCCCGACGUCGUUUGACCGUGUGUGCUGCCCAAAGGCGAUGAUGGCAUGCCACGCCUGACGUCGUUCGACCGUGUGUGCUGUCCAAAGGCGGUGAUGGCAUCUCACGCCCAACGUCGUUCGACCGUGUGUGCUGUCCAGAUGUGGUGAUGUCGUGCCACGCCUAAUGUCAUUUAACCGUGUGUGCUGCCCAAGAUGAUGGCAUGCCAACCACGACGUCGUUCGACCGUGUGUGCUUUCCAAAGGCAAUGAUGGCAUGUAAUGCCUGACGUCGUACGACCGUGUUUGUCGUCCAAGGGCUAUGAUGGCAUGCCAAGCUCGACGUCGUUCUACCGUGUGUUCUGCCCAAAGGCGAUGAUGGCAUGCCACGCCUGACGUCGUUCGAGCGUAUGUGCUGUCUAAAGGUGGUGAUGUCGUUCCAUGGUCGAUGCACUCCAACCGUGUGUGCUACCCAAGGGGGUGAUGUCAUGCCACGCCCAGCGUUGCUGACCGUGUGUGCUGUCCAAGGGCGGUGAUGUCAUGUCACGCCCGACGUUGCUGACCGUGUAUGUUGUCCAAGGGCAAUGAUGUGCUGCCACACCCGACGUCUUACCGUGCAUGCAGUCCAAACGGUGGUGUCAUGUCACGCCCGACGUCGUUCAACCUUGUGUGCUGUCCAAGGGAGGUGAUGUCAUACCACGCCUGACGUCGUCCGACCCUGCGUGUAGUCCAAGGGUGGUAAUGUCAUGCAACGCCUGACGUUGUCCGACCGUAUGUGCUGUCCAAGGGCGGUGAUGGCAUGCCACGUCUGACGUCGUUCGACCAUGUGUGCUAUCCAAGGGCGGUGAGGCAUGUCACGCCCGACGUCGUUCGACCAUUUGUGCUGUCCAAAGGCAGUGAUGUCAUGCCACGCCUGAUGUCGUUUCAGCGUGUGUGCUGCCUAAAGGCGAUGAUGGCAUGCCACGCCCGACGUCGUUCAACCGUGUGUGCUUUCCAAAGGCCAUGAUGGCAUGUCACGCCUUACGUCGUACGUUGAGAAAGAGAGUACAGAGUUAGAGAUAACAGAUAGAGAGUAGAGAGUUGAGAGAGUAGAAGAUGAAUAGAUGAUUUUGUGAUUUAAAAGAAUGAAAUUUAGGGGUAUUUAUAGGUAAAAAAAUGGGCUAAAGUGUAAUUUUUAAAACUUUAGGGUAUUAAAAAAGUUAGGGUGGGGUAGGUCUCCUAUUGGCUGAAAUUCUUAUGAAAUAUCGUUGGGGCCCCACUAGCCUAUACCCAAUGGCUGGUAACGGAUUUAUUUUUUAAAAAAAUUUUAUUUAACUGAACCGAUUAUUAUCGAAACCGAUAAAUUCCCGUAUUUACCAAUUUCUGUCCCGGUACCUGUACCGGAACAGAAAUUAACAGUGAUUAACGGUACUAACUGGUACUGAACCAGACCGGGACGGGCCGGAUUGGAAUCCGGUAAGUACCGGUUCCGCUGCCACGUAUAGACAGGAGUAGACAUUGAUUUUCUAGAGAAUCAUAAUGAAAAUGUACAACCCAAAUAUGCACGUUCUAAGGUACAAACACACAUCAGCUUUCACAAAUGACUUUAAUAUGUAUAAAAAAUAUUUUUCAACAUUUUUUUUUAAUUUUUUUGAAAAUUCCAAAAAAUUAGUAAUAAAUUAAUUAAAAUAGGGAAAAUAUCAAAAAAAAAUAUGAAAUAAACUCCGAAAAUUCACAAAUAAAUAUGAGAACCUUAAAAUAAAAAAUUAAAUAAAUUUUUAUUUUUAAAAGGAGAUGUAAAAAAUUAAAAAGCGUAAAAAUAAAUUUUAAAAUAAUGAUUAAAAGUCAGAAAAAUACGGAAAUGCUCGAAAACACUUCUAAACAUGUCAAAUUAAUGAUAAGAUAUAUAUUUGCACAAAUAAAAAAUAUUUCAAUAUCGUACGAACUAUAAAAGUAAUUAAAAUGAUGCGAAAGAGCCACGUUGGGCGGAAACAUUAGAGAAUACAUAAUUGAAAGUAGAUGAAUAUGUUUGUGAUGCAAAAAGGUUCUUUCAAAAUCCUUUGAUUUAUGUACGGCAUGAACAUCCGCAUGUUUCGUCUAGAACUCUUACAAUGUUGCCUAAGCCACGACUAAUGCGGGCAGGCCAUGGCCAACCGUUGUGUGCAGGCGCGUCCGACAACGGCCGACCGUUUAUGUUGUCCAAGGGCUAUGAUGGCAUGCCAUGCCCGACGUCGUCCGACCCUCUAUGCUGCCCAAGGGCGAAGAUGGGAUGCCACACCCGACGUCAUCCGACCGUGUCAUUUAUUCCAAAGGCGAUGAUGGCAUGCGACACCCGAUGUCAUCCGACCGUGUUAGCUAGUCCAAAGGCGACGAUGGCAUGCCACGCCCAACUUCGUCCGAUCAUGUGUGCUGCCCUAGGGCUAUGAUGGCAUGCCACGCCCGACAACGGCUACCUACUGUGCUGUCCAAAGGCGAUGAUGGCAUGCCACGCCCGACGUCGUCCGACCGUGUGUGCUGUCCAAGGGCAAUGAUGGCAUGCCAUGCCCGACGGCGGCCGACCAUCUGUGCUGUCAAGGGGUGAUGAUGGCAUGCCACGCCCAACACCGUCCGACCGUCUGUGCUGCCCAAAGGCGAUGAUGGCAUGCCACGCUUGGCGUCGUCCAACUAUGUGUGUUGUCCAAAGGCGUGAUGGCAUGCCACGCUCGAUGUCGUUCGACCGUGUUUGCUGUCUAAGGGAGAUGAUGCAUGCAUGCCACGCCCGACGCCGUCUAAUUGUGUCCGCUAGUCCAAAGGAGAUGAUAACAUGCCACUCCUGAUGUUUUUCGACUGUGUUUGCCAUCCAAGGGCUAUGAUAGCAUGCAACGCCCGAAGUUGUUCGAUCGUGUGUGCUGUCCAAGGUCCAUGAUGGCAUGCCACGCCCGACGUCGUUCGACCGUGUGUGCUAUCCAAAUGCCAUGAUGGCAUGUCACGCCCCAAAGGAGAUGAUGGCAUGCCACGCCCGAAACCGUCCAACUGUGUGAGCUAGUCCAAAGGCGAUGAGAAGAUGCUACGCCUGAUGUCGUUCGACCAUUUGUACUGCCCAAAGGCGAUGAUAGAAAGCCACGCCCGACGUCGUUCGAUCGUGUGUGAUACCUAAGGGCGGUGAUGUCAUGCCACGCCGAUGUCGUCCGACGGUGUGUGGUGUCUACGGUCGGUGAUGUCAUGCCACGCCCGACGUUGCCAACCGUGUGUGGUGUCCAAGGGUGGUGAUGUCAUGCCACACCCGACGUUGCCGACCGUGUGUGCUGUCUAAGGGCUGUGAUGGCAUGCCACGCCUGACAUCGUUCGACCGUGUGUGUUGUCCAAGGGUGGUGGUGUCAUGAAACGUCCGUCCAUGAGUGCAUUCCAAGAGCGGUGAUGUCAUACAAAACCUAACGUCGUCCGACCGUGUGUGCUGUCCAAGGGCGGUGAUGGCAUGCCACGCCCGACAUCAUCCGACCGUGUGUGCUGUCCAAGGGCGGUGAUAACAUGCCACUCCCGACGUCAUCCAACCGUCUGUGCUGCCCAAAGGCGAUGAUGGUAUGACACGCCCGACGUCGUCCAAUCGUUUGUGCUGUCCUAAGGCAGUGAUGGCAUCCCAUGCCUGACGUCGUUCGACCGUGUUUCCCGUCCAAGGCGAAGAGGGCAUGCCAUGCCGGACGCCGUCCAACUGUGUCAGCUAGUCCAAAGGAGAUAAUGGCAUGCCACACCCGACGUCGUUCGAACGUAUUUGCCGUCCAAGGGCUAUGAUUGCCUGCCACGCCAGACAUCGUUCGACCGUGUGUGCUGUCAAAGGGCCAUGAUAGCAUGCCACGCCCGACGUCACUCGACCGUGUUUGCCGUCCAAGGUCUACGAUGGCAUGCCACGCCGACGUUGUUCGACCGUGUGUGCUAUCCAAAGGUGGUGAUGUCAUGCCACGCCUGACGUCUUUUGACAGUGUGUGCUACCCAAAGGCGAUGAUGGCAUGCCAUGCCCGCGUCGUUCGACCGUAUUUGCCGUCCAAAGCGAUGAUGGCAUGCCACAUCCGACGCCGUCUGACCUUUUCUGCUACCCAACUAUGAUGAUGGCAUGCCACACCCGAUGUCGUUCGACCGUGCGUGCAGUCCAAAGGUGGUAAUGGCAUGUCACGCCCAAAGUCGUUCAACCCUGUGUGCUGUCCAAAGGCCAUGAUCAUACCAAGACCAACGUCUUUCGACCAUGUAUGCAUCCCAAAGGCGAUGCUGGCAUGCUUGAUGGCGUUCGACCGUGUGUGCUGCCCAAAGGUGAUUAUGGUAUGCAAUGCCCAACGUUGUCGACCGUUUGUGUUGUCCAAGUGUGGUGAUGUCAAGCCACGCCUGACAUCGUCCGACCAUGCGUACUGUCCAAAUGCGGUGAUCUCAUGCCACGCCCGAUGUCUUUCGACCGUGUGUGCUGCCCAAAGGCGAUGAUGGCAUGCCAGGCCCGACGUCAUUCGACCGUGUGUGCUGUCCAGAGGCAGUGAUGGGCGUGACGUCGUUCGAUCGUGUUUGCCGUCCAUGGGCUAUGAUGGCAUGCCAUGCCUGACGUCGUUCGACCGUUUAUGCUUCCCAAAGGCGAUGAUGGCAUGCCACGCCCGACAUCGUUCGAUCGUUUGUGCUGCCCAAAGACGAUGUUGGCAUGCCAAGCCCGACAUCGUUCGACCGUGUGUGCUGUCCGAAGGCGGUGAUGGCAUGUCACGCCCGACGUUGUUCGACCGUGUGUGUUGUCCAAAAGAGGUGAUGUCAUGCCACGCCUGACGUCUUUCGAUCGUGUGUGCUGUCCAAGGGGCAUGAUGGCAUGCCACGCUCGACGUCGUUCGACCGUGUGUGCUGCCCAAAGGUAAUGAUGGCAUGCAAUGCCUGACGUUGUUUGACCUUUUGUGCUCCUAAAGGCGAUGAUGGCAUGCCAUGCCCGACGUCUUUCGAUCGUAUGUGCUGCCCAAAGGCGAUGCUGGCAUGCCACACCCGACGUCGUUUGACCAUUUGUGCUGUCCAAAGGUAAUGAUUGCAUGCCAUGCCCGACAUCGUUCGACCUUUUGUGCUUCCCAAAGGCGAUGAUGGCAUGCCACGCCCGACAUCGCUCGAUCGUGUGUGCUGCCCAAAGGUGAUGAUGGCAUGCCAUGCCCGACGUCGUUCAAUCGUGUGUGCUGUCCAAGGGCCAGAUGGCAUGCCACACCCGAUGUCAUUCGACCGUGUAUGUUGUCCAAAGGCGGUGAUGGCAUGUCACACCUGGCGUCAUUCGACUAUGUUUGCCGUCCAUGGGCUAUGAUUGCAUGCCACGCCGAACGUCGUUUGACCGUUUGUGCUGCCCAAAGGCGAUGAUUGCAUGGCAUUCCCGACAUCAUUCGACCGUGUAUGCUGUCCAACGGCGGUGAUGUCAUGCCACGCCUGACGUCUUUCGACCGUGUGUGCUGCCCAAAGACAAUGCUGGCAUGCCAUGCCCGACGUCGUUCGACCGUAUGUGCUGCCCAAUGUUUAUGAUGGCAUGAUACACCCGACGUCGUUCUACCAGUUGUGCUGCCCAAAGGAGAUGAUGGCAUGCCACACCCGACGUCGUUCGACCGUGUGUGAUGCCCAAAGGUGAUGAUGGCAUGCCACGCCCGACGGCGUUCGACCGUGUGUGCUGUCCAACGGCGGUGAUGGCAUGUCAUGCCCGACGUCGUUCGACCGUGUGUGCUGUCCAAAGGCGGUGAUUAUAUGCCAGGCCCGACGUCUUUCAACCGUGUGUGUUGCCUAAAGGCGAUGAUAACAUGCCACGCCCGUUAUCGUUUGACCGUAUGUGCUGUCCAAAGGCGGUGAUGGCAUGUCACGCCAGAUGUCGUUCGACCGUAUUUGCCGUCCAUGGGCUAUGAUGGCAUUCCACGCCCGACGUCGUUCGACCGUGUGUGCUGCCCAAAGGCGAUGAUGGCAUGCCACGCCCGACGUCGUUCGACCGUGUGUGCUGUCCAAAGGCAGUGAUGUCAUGCCACAUCUGACGUAGUCCGACCGUGUGUGCUGCCCAAGCGCGGUGAUGUCAUGCCAUGCCAGAUGUCGUCCGACCUUGUGUGCUGUCCAAGGGCGGUGAUGUCAUUACACGCCCGACGUUGUCGACCCUGUGUGCUAUCCAAGGGCGGUGAUGUCAUGUAAUACCCAACGCCAUCCGACCGUGUGUGCGGUCCAAAGGCGAUGAUGUCAUGUCAUGCCCGACGUCGUUCAACCGUGUGUGCCGUCAAAGGCGGUGAUGUCAUUCCAUGCCAGAUGUCGUCCGACCUUGCGUGCAGUCCUAGGGCGGUGAUGUCAUGCCACGCCCGACGUCGUUCGACCGUUUGUGCUGCCAAAGGCGAUGAUGGCAUGCCACGGCCGACGUCGUUCGACCGUGAAUGCUGUCUAAAGGCGGUGAUGCAUGUCACGCCCGGCGUUGUUCGACCGUGUGUGCUGUCCAAAGGCGGUGAUGCCAUGCCACGCCUAACGUCGUUCGACCAUGUGUGCUACCCAAAGUUGAUGAUGGCAUGCCACGCCCGACGUCGUUCGACCGCGUGUGCUAUCCAAAGGCGGUGAUGUCAUGCCACGCCCGACGUAGUACGACCGUGUGUGCUGCCCAAGGGCGGUGAGGUCAUGCCAUGCCCGACGUUGUUUGACCAUGUGUGCUGUCCAAGGGCGGUGAUGUCAUGCCACGCCCAACGUCGUCCUACCGUGCGCGUAGUCCACGGGCGGUGAUGUCAUGCCAUGCACGACGUCGUUCGACUGUGUGUGUUGUCCAAGGGUGGUGAUGUCAUGCUACACCCGACGUCGUUUGACCGUGCGUGCAGUCCAAGGGCGGUGAUGUCAUGCCAUAUCCGACAUCGUCUGAACGUGUGUGAUGUCCAAGGGCGGAGAUGGCAUGCCAUGCCCGAUGUCGUCCGACUGUGUGUGCUGUCCAAGGGCGGUGAUGGAACGCCACGCCCGACGUCGUUCGACCGUUAAUGUCGUCCAAGGGCGUUUUUUGCAGUCCAGGCCCAUUCUACGCAGGCCUUGGCAGAUGCCGCUUGGCCGCGGACGUGCUGCAUACGCAGACCCAUUUGCCGUUUCACAUCUAACUUGGCUUUAAAAAUCGCUCCCGACCUCUCGAAAACCUUUUAUAGUGACAUGUCAUUAGUCCCUUAACAUGUCAUUAGGCUUGAUAAAUGAACUCACCAUCACGAAAACCUCGCAAUGGGGAUUAGUUAUAGGACAAGUGUUUGACCGUCGUAUAACGUCUAGCUCAACACUUAGCGGUAAACUAGUGAACUUCACGUGCCAUGUUACUUCCGAUACUUAUAUUUCAACACUUAGUUAUUUUUUCCCCUUCCAAGGAUGCAAGCAUCACGAGAACCUCUCAUUUGAAAAGUUAGAAAUGAUUGGAUUUGAUUUUGGGGGAGGGGGAGUGUGGGGGGAACUAAUAGGAGUGGCAAAGGGCUGAAUCUUAGUGGAUCGUGGCAGUAAGGCCACUCUGCCACUUACAAUACCCUGUCGCAUAUUUAAGUCGUCUGCAAAGGAUUCUACCCGCUGCUCCAUGGAAAUUGUACUUCAAGACGGUCACUGCGGCACUUAUGUUGCGACGACUUAGCCAACGACACGUGCUCUUGGGGCCAUAGGCCCCUACUGCGGGUCGGCAAGCGGACGGCGGGCGCAUGGAUCGCUUCUUGUCCGGAUUUUGAUUUAAAGGCAUUCAGUCAUAAUCCAGCACACGGUAGCUUCGCGCCACUGGCUUUUCAAAGGUAAAACUAACCCGUCUCAUGACGGUCUAAACCCAACUCACGUUCCCUAUUGGUGGGUGAACAAUAAAACAUUUGGUCAAUUAUGCUUCACAGUGACCAAAAGAGCCGACAUCGAAGGAUAAUAAAGCAACGUCGUUGUGAACCCUUGGCUGCCACAAGCCAAUUAUCCUGUGGUAACUUUUCUGAAAGCUCUAGCUUCGAAUUACAAAGGUCUAAAGGAUCGUAAGGCCACUCUUUCACGUUUAGUAUUCGUACUGGAAAUUAGAAUAUAACGAGCUUUUACCUUUCUCUUACACACGAGAUUUCUUUUCUCGUUGAGCUCAUCUUAGGACACCUGCGUUAUCUUUUAACAGAUGUGCCGCCCCAGCAAAACUCCCCACCUGACAAUGUCUCCUUCCCGGAUCGGCCCGCAAAGCGAGACUUGGGUCCAAAAAGAGGGGCAGUGCCCCGCUUCCGAUUCACGGAAUAAGUAAAAUAACAUUAAAAGUAGUGGUAUUUCACUUACGCCUUUUGGCUCCCACUUAUACUACACCUCUCAAGUCAUUUGAGAAUAGAUAAAAAAGUCGAUGAAUAUGUUUGUUAUGCAUGGGGGUUCUUUCAAAAUCCUUUGAUCCAUGUACGUCAUGAACAUCUGCAUGUUUCGUCUAGUUAUCGAACAUUGUUGCGCAAUCCACGAUCUAUGCGGGAUGUCCACGACCGAUCGUUGUGUGUAGGCACGUCCAACAGUGGCCGACCGUUUGUGCUGUCCAAGGGCUAUGACGGCAUGCCAUGCUCGACGACGGCCGACCGUCUGUGCUGUCCAAGGGCGAUUAUGGCAUGCCACGCCCGACGCCUUCCGACCGUCUGUGCUGCCCAAGGGCGAAGAUGGCAUGCCACGCCCGACGUCAUCCGACCGUGUCAGCUAGUCCAAAGGCGACGAUGGCAUGCGACGCCUGAUGUCGUCUGACUGUGUCUGCUAGUCCAAAGGCGAUGAUGGCAUGCCACGCCCAACGUCGUCCGACCGUAUCUAUUUUCCAAGGGCUAUGAUGGCAUGCCACGCUUGACAACGACCGAACCGCCGCGCCCUCCUACUCAUCGGGGUCUGGCACUUUCCCUGACGGCCGGGUGUAGAUCGCGCGCUUAAGCUCCAUCCAUUUUCGGGGAUAGUUGAUUCGGCAGGCGAGUUGUAACACACUCCUUAGCGGAUUUCGACUUCCAUGACCACCGUCCGGCUGUCUUAAUUGACCAACACCCUUUGUGGGAUCUAGGUUAGUGCUCAGUUUCGCACCAUAACCCGGCUUCCGAUUCAUCCUGCAUCGCCAGUUCGGCUUACCAAAAAUGGCGCACUUGGAUAUCUUGAUUUCGUGGCACGGCUCAACAAAGAAGUCGCAUCGCCUACCUAUUUGAAAUUUGAGAAUACGUCGAGGGCGUUGCGCCGCCGAGGCCUCUAAUCAUUGACUUUACCCGAUAGAACUCGCACGCGAGCAUCAGCUAUACUCAGGGAAACUUCGGAUGGAACCAGCUAUUAGACGAUUCGAUUAGUCUUUCGCCCCUAUACCCAAGUCAGACGAUCGAUUUGCACGUCACUAUCGCUGCGGACCUCCACUAGAGUUUCCUCUUGCUUCGCCCCGCUCAGGCAUAGUUCACCAUCUUUUGGGUCCCAACAGGUUUGCUCACAGUCGAACCCUUCUCAGAAGAUCAGGGUCGGUCGGCGGUGCACCCCUCAUGGGGAUCCCACCAAUCAGCUUCCUUACGCCUUACGGGUUUACUCGACCGUUGACUCACACACAUGUCAGAUUCCUCGGUCCGUGUUUCAAGACGGGUCGAAUGGGGAGCCCACAAGCCAGGGUCCGGAGUGUGCAGAUGCCGAAGCACGCCGGAGGCACGCGCUGCCUUCCACAAUCGGGGAUACGGUGUUCCAUGGUUGUAUCGAGAGCCCGGGCUUUGUCCUCCCCCCCAAACCACGUUGGUCCACGCCCCGAGUCGAUCGACGGACCGGCUCAUCACCGUUCCACAUCCGAUCGUGGCGCAUCGCCGGCCCCCAUCCUCUUCCCUCCCGAUAAUUUCAAGCACUCUUUGACUCUCUUUUCAAAUUCCUUUUCAUCUUUCCCUUGCAGUAGUUGUUCGCUAUCGGUCUCUCGCAAGUAUUUAGCCUUGGACAGAAUUCACCCCCCGAUUUAGGCUGCAUUCCAAAACAACGCAACUCGUAGACAUAGCCUCGUGGUGCGACAGGGUCCGGGCAUGACAGGGAUCUCACCCUGUUCGGCGCCCCCUUCCAGGGACUUGGGCCCGAUCCGCCAUUGAGGACACUUCUCCAAACAACAAUUCGGAUGACAGAGAUGCCCGAUUAUAAGGCUGGGUUGUUCCCGGUUUGCUCGCCGUUAUUAGGGUAAUCCUUGUAAGUUUCUUUUCCUUCGCUUAUUAAUAUGCUUAAACUCAGCGGCUAAUGUCGCCUGACCUGGGGAUGCGGUCGAAGCGCCUGGUGAGGGGCAGUGAGGGUAGGGGAGUCCGGACGCGCGACGUCUGUCGACGUGGACUCACAUUUAGGCCGGGCGCACGGGAGGCUAGCUUUCGCCCCCGCGCUAAGCCUUGCAACAUGCAGGGGAGUGCAACGCGAUGCAUGACGCCCAGGCAGACGUGCCCUCGGCUAAUUGGCUUCGUGUGCAACCUGCAUUCAAAGACUCGAUGGUUCAUGGGAUUCUGCAAUUCACACCAAGCAUCGCAUUUCGCUACCUUCUUCAUCAAUUUGAGAGUCGAGAUAUUCGUUGUCAAGUGUCGCUUGUGUUAUCAGCGCAGCGCGCAUCCCCCCAUGAUCCGUGAACAGGGCGCGAGGAGAGGGCUGUCAAUUGUUGUAUUCCUUGGCGCUUUCCGCUCCGGGGUUCGAUAGUCGCUCGAAGAUCUUGAGCGCGUUGGGCGACAGGAGGGAGGCGCGCAACGAGCGAGGGCCUCCCUCAGGUAUUUAAAAUGAGUUCGCAGGUCAUUCUGCUGUGCCGGUUUCGACAAUGAUCCUUCCGCAGGUUUAUCUAUGGAAACCUUGUUACGACUUCUCCUUCUUCUAAAUGAUAAGGUUCAAUAGACUUCUCACGACGUCGCAGGCAGCGAACUACCCAUGUCGCCGCAAUCCAAACAUUUCACCGGAUCAUUCAGUUGGUAGGAGCGACGGUCGGUGUGUACAAAGGGCAGGGACGUAGUCAACGCGAGCUGAUGACUCGCGCUUACUUGGAAUUCCUCAUUGAAGAUCAAUAAAUGCAAUGAUAUAUCCCUAUCACGAUGAAAUAUCAAAGAUUACUCGGGCCUGUCGGCCAAGGCUAUAAGCUCGUUGAAUAAUCAGUGUAGCGCACGUGCGGCCCAUAACAUCUAAGGGCAUAAUAGACCUGUUAUUGCCUCAAACAUCCGUGGCCUAAAAGGUCGUAGUCCCUCUAAGAAGCUGGCCGCGAAGGGAUACCUUCACAUAGCUAGUUAGCAGGAUGAGGUCUCAUUCGUUAAUGGAAUUAACCAGACAAAUCGCUUCACCAACUAAGAACGUCCAUGCACCACCACCCGUAGAAUCAAGAAAGAGCUCUCAUUCUGUCAGUCCUUACUAUGUGUGGACCAGGUAAGUUUCCCCAUGUAGUGUCAAAUAAAGUCGCAGGCUCCACUCCUGGUGGUGCCCUUUUGUCAAUUCCUUUAAGUUUCAGCCUUGCGACCAUACUCCCCCCGGAACCCAAAAACUUUAAUUUCUCAUAAGGUGGCGGCAGAGUCCUAAAAGCAACAUCCGUCGAUCCCUGGUCGGCAUCGUUUAUGGUUGAGACUAGGACGGUAUCUGAUCAUCUUCGAGCCCUCAAAUUUCGUUCUUGGUUAAUGAAAAUAUUCUUGGUAAAUGCUUUUGCAGUUGUUCAUCUUUCAUAAAUCCAAGAAUUUCACCUUUGAAUAUGAAAUACGAAUGCCCCUGACUGUCCUUGUUAAUCAUUAGUCUAAUCCUGAAGGCCAACGUAAUAUGACCAAAAUCCUAUAAUGUUAUCCCCUACUAAUGUAUACCGAGCAUAGUGUCAUGGACUUUUUGAUUCGGACAAUACUCCGUGCGGCACUUGACGGUUUACUCACGAUUCUUGCACGUUCUUGCAAACUCAAGUUAGUCUCUCACUCGGAUCGCUAAGAAAAUAAGAAGUAGACAGAAUUUUGGAAGAAGGAACUUCUAUUACUUGCACAAAUUAUUGGAUGCUUUACAAGUAAAAUGAACUACUAUUAUGCUUCUAAGUCUUCCAAAAAGGACUCCUAGAUGCUCCUAGUCCGCCCUAACUCCUAGAGGCCUUGAACAAGCCUAUUCAAUGCUUAUAAAUGCCGCCCCACUACCUGCUGUAACAGCUGUAACGGCUGUAACUGCCGUAACAGCUGAAACUGUUGUAACGGCUGCCUCUCAAACUGCUGCCUGCCCAUUGGCCUGCUGGCCCGCUUGGGCUGUCUGCCCCCUUGCGCCUGCUGCUGGCUGCCAGGUUGGGUGGCGUUCUACCUGGAUGGAUGGCAGGACGUCACAAUCUCCCCCACCCAAUGAUGCGACGACCGCGACGCAUUGCUGCAAGAACUCCUGAAUUUUUUCUUUGAACUGGCACAAGUCUUCGUACUUCUCCCAAGUGGCUUCUUCAGGAGUUUGUCCCUUCUAAUGUACGAGAAACAUGGCAUUGGCCUGUUGUCCUCAUUUCCGUUUGGCUUGGUAAUCUAUUAUAACUUCAAUUUCUCGAUCAUGCGAGGCAAUAACGGUGAUAGGGGCCCGUUGUGAUUUGUUCCGGCUGGGAUCGUCCUUAUCCUUAUGAUAAGGCUUAUGAAUGCUUGCAUGAAAGACCGGGUGGAUCCUUAAGUAUGGAGGUAACUCCAACUUGUAUGAAGUUUUAUCAACCUUGGCAACAAUUUUGAACGGAUCCUCAUAUUUCCGCACCAAGUUGUGAUGUAUGCCUCUAAGUUCCUUAAACUGCCUCGAAUUAAACUUUACCAAAACAUGCCGCCUUGCCCAAAUAAGAUUUGGCAAGGUCGAGUUGUUCUUCCCAACCCUUGGCAAGGUUGUAAGCACCCAAACUCUUCCCUUCAAAACAGGUUGGCAGUGAGUGCGGAGUUUGGGGUUGCUGGCCUGUUGCUAACUCGAACGGUGUGCGCCCUGUAGAUUCACUCCUCUGCAAAUUGUAAGAAAAUUGCGCCAUGUCUAGGAGCUUAGCCCAAUCUUUCUGAUGUGCACUGACAUAGUGCCUAAGAUAGUAUUCCAACAAGGCAUUGACGCAUUCAGUUUGGCCAUCAGUUUAGGGGUGGAAACUGGUGGAGAAGUGAAGUUUUGAACCAAGAAUUUCAAAGAGUUCACUCCAAAAGUUCCCUGUGAAAUAAGGAUCCCAAUCGCUAAUGAUGAACCUCGGCCGCCCCCAAUACUUCACAACAUUUUUGAAAAAUAAUUGUGCAGCUUCCUUAGAAGUACAACCGGCCGUGGCAGCCAUGAAAGUAGUAUACUUGGACAAUCUAUCCACUACGACCAUAAUCGUGCCAAACCCGUUUGACUUCGGCAAAGAAGAGAUGAAAUCCAUAGAUAUACUCUCCCAUGGACGAUCAGCUAUGGGUAAUGGCUCCAACGGCCCUCCUUGUUGCCUUUGCUCUACCUGUCUUGCUAGCACACAAGACAAGUCUGCACAUACUGCUCGAUCUCUUCCCGCAUUCGUGGCAAGAAAUAGAAGGCCUCCACUAAUGCCCUCGUUCUCUUCUGUCCUGGAUGCCCAGCCCACGGAGUGUCGUGGCUUUCUUUGAUAAUUCGCCGCCUGAUGAAUCCAAACUUUGGUACAUAAAUCCUCCGGCCAGUGGUAAGCAAGAAUCCGUCUUCUACCCAAAACCGUUUGGUUUGGCCUUGAGCAGCCAGCUGCAUAAUCUUCUUGGCUUCCGUAUCACGUUGCAUACCAUCUUUGAUAGCGCUUUUGAAUUCAAUACCGACUGAGGAGAUGGCCGCUAAAUCAGUCUUCUUGCUCAAUGCAUCGACUACCACAUUGCCCCUUCCUGGUUUGUACUCCAAGUUGUAGUCAAAUUCCGCCAAGAAUUCCUGCCAACGAGCCUGCUUUGGUGUGAUCUUCUUCUGUGAUUGAAAAUAGCUAGUGGAAACAUUGUCGGUUUUCACUACAAAUUUGGAGCCUAGUAGAUAGUGCCUCAAUGUACGUAGACAAUGCACAAUGGCCGUCAUCUCCUUCUCCUGCACAGUGUACCAUCGUUCAGCUUCAUUCAGCUUCCAGCUUUCAAAAGCUAUGGGGUGCUUCUCCUGCAUCAAGACUCCCCCAAUGGCAAAAUCAGAAGCAUCCAUAUGGAUCUCAAAGGUCUUGGUGAAGUCAGGCAACAUCAAUACCGGUGCUUCAGUAACCACAGCCUUAAGAACUUCAAAUGCUUCCUGGCACUCCUCGCUCCACAGCCAAAACCUGUUCUUCUUCAGCAGCUCGGUCAGUGGGGCAGCUAUAGCAGAGUACCCGCUAAUGAACCUGCGAUAAUACUUAUCAAGUCCAAGAAAAUAACGUAGCUCGGUCACUUUCAUAGGCGCUUCCCAAUCUUGGAUCGCCUUUACCUUUGCCUCAUCCAUACGAAGUUCACCUUGGCUGAUCACAUGGCCCAAGAAGUGUAUCUUUGGUUGGGCGAACUGGCACUUCUCCCGCUCGACAUAAAGCUGAUUCUCCCGCAAGACUUUGAAAACCUUCUUCAAGUGCUCCACAUGUUCCUGCAAAGUGCUACUAUAGACGACUAUGUCAUAUAAGUACACUACUACUAACUGGUCCAAGUAGGGACAUAAAAUCUCAUUCAUCAGUGUGCAAAAUAUGGCAGGUGCAUUGGUUUAGCCGAAGGGCAUCACCAACCAUUCGAAUGCUCCAUACCUUUUCACACAUGCUGUCUUUGGCUCAUCCCCCUCUGCAAUGCGCACUUGAUAGUAGCCUUUCCGGAGAUCCAUCUUGGUGAAGUACUUGGCCUCUCCAAGACAAUCAAACAAAUCAGCGAUCAGCGGGAUUUGAUACUUGUUCCGAAUUGUGAUCUUGUUGAGCGCCCUGUAGUCAAUGCAUAGACGCAUCGACCCAUCUUUCUUUUUCUGAAACAACACCGGCGCUCCAUAGGGUGCUUUGGAUGGAAGAAUGUGACCUGCUUCGAGGAGCUCUUUCAAUUGCUUCCUCAGUUCCUCUAACUCAGCCGGAGCCGUGCAAUAAGGUGCAAGCGCAUGUGGCUUGCCUCCCACCUCCAACUCGAUCAUGUGGUCUACCUCACGCCUUGGAGGUAGAGUUUUUGGCAGCUCCUCCGGCAUCACAUCACUGUUUUCCUGCAAAACUGUUUCUAUGAUAGGUGGCAAUGGCUCCAUAGCACCAUGGUCUUCACCCGAACUUGCGAUGGUGGCUAAGAAGGUUGGUGCUCCUUUCUUCAGUCCCUUCACAAUCUGCAUGGCCGACAAUUGGGCAUCUCCGUUUUUCUUCGGCACCCUAACAGGAGGCACCAUACAAGACCCUUCCCCUUCCAUCACCAUGAGUUUUUGAAGGUAGGGAUCAAUCAUCGUGUGGCAACACUGAAAGAAUUCCUGUCCAAGAAUAACAUCGGAUAUGUCCAAACGAGCUACGGUAAAAUUCGUAUUACCUCUCCACCGUCCUAAAGUGAUGCUGACCCCAUGAGUAAUUCAACACACGAGAGUUGGUGGGGCGUUGACCGUCUUGAGGCGAUUGUUACUUGGAACAAUUUUCAGUCCCAAUUUCUCUGCCGCCGUCUUGGUCAUGAUGUUGGCUUCAGCCCCAGAAUCUACCCUGGCUCAAACUAGUUGCCCGUUGAUGGAGAUAUCCACAUAUUGCAUACUGAAAUCCCUCGGGUUGUCGGCCUGUUUGGCUAUGGCUCCACAGAUUCCAACCAUGCCCAACUGAGUGGUGUCUGCCGAUUUCGCCUUGUCUUGUGCCUCCUUUUCCUUCCACUCACGGAGGAUGGCACUAAGUCUCUUCAUCUCUGGGCACCUGGCAUAACCGUGUGGUCCGCCAUAUAUAUAGCCCCGUCUCCUUUGCUGGACUGCGUCCUCUUCUCCGAGUACUUCUUAUGUUCAAACCGUCUGCUAUCGGGUUUGGGCGUGUCUUGCUGCUUGGGAUGUGCCGACUGUUCUCUGCCUCGACCACGGUCUCCCCCGCCUUUAGCUUGACUACCCCUUGCCUCCUUGUCCUUCGCCUUGUCCAAACGAUCAUGUUUGAAAUCUGUCAAGGUUUCGGUUUGAGUGAUGGCCUCAUCAAUGGUUCUUACUUGUCGCCGCUCUAACUCGGUCCUCCCCCAAUUUUGCAGCCCGUCCAUGAAGGUGAACAGCAUGUCAUCUUCCGUGAGUUGGGGAAUUUGGAGGGUAAAGAUUGUGAACUCUUUCACAUAUGCCCUAAUAAUUCCCGUUAGCUUCAACUCCCGUAGUUUGCGUUUCAUUUCAUAAACAACAUUGUUGGGGAAGAAAGCUUUCUUGAAUUCCUCAAGGAAUUGUUCCCAUGUGUUGAUGGUGCGUGUGCCCCUCUUGAUCUCGGCAUCUUUUCAUUUCCACCACAACAUGGAUACAUCUAAAAGAUACAACACGGCAGUGUUGAUCUUGUUUGCAUCGCUCCUGACCCGAUUACACCUGAAAUAAUUUUCCAUGUGCCAUAGGAAAUUUCCUACCUCUAGGGCGUCGCAGACACCCUUGAAUGUUGGUGGCUUGGGAACCUCGACUCUGGACUCCCUUUCCUGGCCAAGUGAUGUUAAUGGUUCAACCUCCCUCUCUUCUUUGAGAGCUUCUACCUUGUUCUUCAGCAUCUGGAUCGUCGUAAGGGCGUCCAAAAAUCUGAAAUCCAAGGAAGUAAUGGUUUCCUUCAUCGCUAAUUCAGACCGCUUGCGUACCUCCAACUCCUUCCGAAUGGCGUCAACUUCAUCAAGGGAGUGCUCUUCAAGGUCUUUGACAUCACUGUCAAACCCAUUCAAGCGCUGGCCUAAAAUCUCAACAGCUAGCCUUGCCCUCUUGACGCUUGCAAGCCAUUCAUGUCCAACAGUGACAUCGAUGGUAUCUUCGCUGUCGUCGUCGUCACUUCCAUCGACAAUAUUAUGCUGGAAAGAUGUUUGUCCAUCGCUUGGUGGAGGAACAUCUGGUGGUAGACCGCCUGAUGGAAGACCGCUUGGUGGAAGACCGCUUGGUGGAAGACUGCCUCAUGGAAGACCGCCUGGUGGAAGAUCAGUUGGUGGAGGAUUAGUGGGUGGAAGAUCGGGCAGAUUGGGCACAUUGGGUUUAUUUUCCUUCUGCUGCUUCUUCCCUUUCUUGUUCUUCUUUACUACCUGAACGUUGGGGGUGUUGCUAGCGCCGCUUCCGUUUCCUUCGUUCGUCAUUCUCUUACAAUGAACCUUCUCUGAUACCAAUUGUCACGGACUUUUUGAUUCAGACAAUACUCCGUGCGGCACUUGACAGUUUACUCACGAUUCUUGCACGUUCUUGCAAACUCAAGUUAGCCUCUCACUCGGAUCUCUAAGAAAAUAAGAAGUAGACAGAAUUUUGGAAGAAGGAACUUCUAUUACUUGCUGAAAUUAUUGGAUGCUUUACAAGUAAAAUGAACUACUACUUAUACUACUCUAAUGCCUAAGAGUUAGUAAAUGCUACACUAUACAAGUUCCUAAGUCUAUGCCUACAAGACAUGCUUCUAACUCUUCCAAAAAGAACUCCUAGAUGCUCCUAGUCUGCCCUAACGCCUAGAGGCCUUGAACAAGCCUCUUCAAUGCUUGUAACUGCCACCCCACUACCUGCUGUAACAGCUGUAACGGCUGUAACUGCCGUAACAGCUGAAACUGUUGUAACGGCUGCCUCUCCAACUGCUGCCUGCCACUUGGACUGCUGGCCGUCUUGGGGUGUCUGCCCCCUUGCACCUGUUGCUGGCUUCCAGGUUGGGUGGCGUUCUGCCUGGAUGGAUGGUGGGACGCACAGUAGGCUUUCUUUGAGCACUCUAAUUCUUCAAAGUAACAGCGUCAGAGGCAUGACCCGGCCAUUAAACGCCAUGAGCGCAUCGCUCGACAGAAGGGACGAGACGACCGUUGCACAUCUAGGGCGGACCGGCCGGCCCAUCCCAAUGUCCAACUACGAGCUUUUUAAUUGCAACAACUUAAAUAUACGCUAUUGGAGCUGGAAUUACCGCGACUGCUUGCACCAUACUUGCCCUCCAAUGGAUCCUCGUUAAUGGAUUUAGAUUGUACUCAUUCCAAUUACCAGACUCAUGGAGCCCAGUAUUGUUAUUUAUUGUCACUACCUCUCCGUGUCAGGAUUGGUUAAUUUGCGCACCUGCUGCCUUCCUUGGAUGUGGUAGCCGUUUCACAGGCUCCCUCUCUGAAAUCGAACCCUAAUUCUCCGUCACCCGUCACCAAUCAUGGUAGGCCACUAUCCUACCAUCAAAAGUUCAUAGGGCAGAAAUUUGAAUGAUGUGUCGCCAGCACGAUGGCCGUGCGAUCCGUCGAGUUAUCAUGAAUCAUCACAGCAACUGGCAGAGCCCGCGUCGACCUUUUAUCUAAUAAAUGCAUCCCUUCCAGAAUUUGGGGUUUGUUGCACGUAUUAGCUCUUGAAUUACUACGGUUAUCUGAGUAGCAGAUACCAUCAAACAAAGUAUAACUGAUUUAAUGAGCCAUUCGCAGUUUCACAGUCUGAAUUUGUUCAUACUUACACAUGCAUGGCUUAAUCUUUGAUACAAGCAUAUGACUACUGGCAGGAUAAACCAGGUAGCAUUCCUCAAAAACGUCACGCGCCGCAUGAGACCGGCGUGCCCUUUCAGUCACGGUCAGGUCUAAGGAGAGCACGAUAGUUAUUUGCAAGGAGCAUUCGUUUUGGGCAGAUAGAAGCCGAUGAAGGCCCCAUGCCCACUAUAUCUACCGUAUUUGAGAAUUCGAGGCACCGCUCACGGACCACGCCAUUGUACAACGAAGCGAGGGAAGGCGUGGGACGCGAAAGCGUCUUUUGGGUUCACCCCGCACAUGAGACUCGAAGGGAGAAAGGCGACCAUUUGCACGUGCACAAUGCCUGGGCAUUAGGUAUGCAACACAGGAUUCCGACGUCCGACCAUCCUAGAUUGUGCUUCAUCUGCCACCGAAUUGGCAUGUGAGAUAAGACGUCGCUUCUCGAAACAGGGAUCCAACCUACCAAUAAAUGCCCAAUACCACUCAUGCGCCAUAGUUGAAUAGCUCUGUCAAUGCACGCUCGACAUCCACCCCGACGCCCGACAUGAGAUGUCAUGCGAAGACCCAAAUGCCUUCUUUACAAGGCCAAUGCUACACCUGCCAUUGAACUCUUGCCCAAGGGAGUUGAGAAUUUAAUCACUGCAGAGAUUGUUUGAGGAAGACCAAGGUUCACACAAAGGAACCGCCCACGACGUCGUUCGACCGUGUGAGAUGUCCAAAGGCGGUGAUAACAUGCCACGCCCGACAUCGUUUGACCGUGUUUGCCAUUCAAGGGCUAUGAUGGCAUUCCACGCACGAAGUCGUUCGACCAUCUAUGCUGCCCAAAGGCGAUGAUGACAUGCCACGCUCGACGUUGUUCGACCGUGUGUGCUGUCAAAAGGUGGUGAUGUCAUGCCAUGCCCGACGUCGUUCGACCUUGUGUGCUGCCCAACGGGGAUGAUGGCAUGCCACGCCCGACGUCGUUCGACCGUGUUUUCCGUCCAAGGGCGAUGAUGGCAUACCAAGCCCGAUGCCGUCCUACUUUGUGAGCUAGUCUAAAGGUGAUGAUGGCAUGCCACACCCAACGUCAUUCGACCGUUUGGGCUGCCCAAAGGCGAUGAUGUCAUGCCACGCCUGACGUCGUUCGACUGUGUGUGCUGCCUUAAGGCGAUGAUGGCAUGCCACGCCCGACGUCGUUCGACCGUGUGUGCUGUCCAAAGGCGGUGAUGGCAUCUCACGCCCGACAUUGUUCGACCGUGUGUGCUGUCCAGAAUUGGUGAUGUCAUGCCAUGCCUGACGUCGUUUUACCGUGUGUGCUGCCCAAAGGUUAUGAUGGCAUUCCAAGCCCGACAUCGUUCGACCGUGUGUGCUUUCCAAAGGCGGUGAUGGCAUGUCAUGCCUGAUGUCAUAAGACUGUGUUUGUCGUCUAAGGGCUAUGAUGGCAUGCCACGCCCGACGUCGUUCUACCGUGUAUUCUGCCCAAAGGCGAUGAUGGCAUGCCACGCCUGACGUCAUUCGAGCGUGUGCGCUGUCCAAAGGUGGUGAUGUCAUGCCAUGGUCGACGCACUCCAACCGUGUGUGGUGCCCAAGGGCGGUGAUGUCAUGCCACGCCCGGCGUUGCUGACCGUGUGUGCUGUCCAAGGGCGGUGAUGUCAUGUCACGCCCGACGUUGUUGACCGUGUGUGUUGUCCAAGGGCGGUGAUGUGCUGCCACACCCGACGUCGUCUGACCGUGCAUGCAGUCCAAGCGGUGGUGUGAUGCCACGCCCGACGUCGUUCAACCUUAUGUGCUAUCCAAGGGCGGUGAUGUCAUGCCACGCCCGACAUCGUCCGACCCUGCCUGUAGUCCAAGGGUGGUAAUGUCAUGCAACGCCUGACGUUGUCCGACCGUAUGUGCUGUCCAAGGGCGGUGAUGGCAUGCCACGCCCGACGUCGUCCGACCAUGUGUGCUAUCCAAGGGCGGUGAGGCAUGUCACGCUCGACGUCGCUCGACCGUUUGUGCUGUCCAAAGGCAGUGAUGUCAUGUCACGCCUGAUGUCAUUCCACCGUGUGUGCUGCCCAAAGGCGAUGAUGGCAUGCCACGCCCGACGUCGUUCAACCGUGUGUGCUUUCCAAAGGCCGUGAUGGCAUGUCACGCCUAACGUCGUACGUUGAGAAAGAGAGUACAGAGUUAGAGAUUAGAGAUAGAGAGUAAAGAGUUGAGAGAGUAGAAGAUGAAUAGAUAAUUUUUUGAUUUAAAAGAAUGAAAUUUAGGGGUAUUUAUAGGUUAAAAAAAUGGGUUAAAGUGUAAUUUUUAAAACUUACGAGAUUAAAAAAGUUAGGGUGGGGUAGGGCUCCUAUUGGCUGAAAUUCUACUCAAAUAUUGUUUGGGGCCCCACUAGCCUAUACCCAGCGGCUGGUAACAGAUUUAUUUUUAAAAAAAAAAAUUUAACCGAACCAGUCUGGUUACUAUUGAAACCGAUAAAUUCUGGUAUUUAUCUAUUUCCGUCCCGGUACCUGUAACGGAACCAGAAAUUAACGGUGAUUAACGGUACUAACUGGUACUGAACCAGACCGGGACGGACCGGAUAGGAAUCCGGUAAGUACCGGUUCCGCUGCCACGCAUAGACAGGAGUAGACAUUGAUUUGCUAGAGAAUCAUAAUGAAAAUGUACAACCCAAAUAUGCACGUUCUAUGGUACAAACACACAUCAGCUUUCUCAAAUGACUUUAAUAUGUAUAAAAAAUAUUUUUUAACAUUUUUUUUUUGAAAAUUCAAAAAAAUUAGUAAUAAAUUAAUAAAAAUAGGGAAAAUAUCGAAAAAAAAUAUGAAAUCAACUCCGAAAAUUCACAAAUAAAUAUGAGAACCUUAAAAUAAAAAAUUUAAUAAAUUUUAAUUUUUAAAAGGAGAUGUAAAAAAUUAAAAAGCCUAAAAAUAAAUUAAAAAUAAUGAUUAAAAGUUAGAAAAAUACGGAAAUGCUCGAAAACACUUUUAAACAUGUCAAAUUAAUGAUAAGAUAUAUAUUUGCACAAAUAAAAAAGUAUUUCAAUAUCGUAUGAACUAUAAAAGUAAUGAAAAUGAUGUGAAAGAGCCCCGUUAGGAAGAAACAUUAAAGAAUAGAUAAUUGAAAGUAGAUGAAUAUGUUUGUGAUGGCAUGCCACGCCCGACGACCAUGGUCUCCCCCGCCUUUAGCUUGACUACCCCGUGCCUCCUUGCCCUUCGCCUUGUCCAAACGAUCAUGUUUGAAAUCUGUCAAGGUCUCGGCUUGAGUGAUGGCCUCAUCGAUGGUUUUUACUUGACUCCGCUCUAACUCGGUCCUCGCCCAAUUCUGCAGCUCAUCCAUGAAGGUGAACAGCAUGUCAUCUUCCGUUAGUUGGGGAAUUUGGAGGGUCAAGAUUGUGAACUCCUUCACAUAUGCCCUAAUGCUUCCCGUCUGCUUCAACUCCCAGAGUUUGCGCUUCAUCUCAUAAACAGCAUUGUUGGGGAAGAAAGCUUUCUUGAAUUCCUCAAGGAAUUGUUCCCAUGUGUUGAUGGUGCUUGUGCCUCUCUCAAUCACAGCAUGUCUGCGUUUCCACCAUAACAUGGCUACGUCGGAAAGAUACAACACGUCAGUGUUGAUCUUGCAUGCAUCGCUCCUGACCCGAUUACACCUGAAAUAAUUUUCCAAGUGCCAUAAGAAAUUGCCUACCUCUAGGGCGUCUCGGACACCCUUAAAUGUUGGUGGCUUGGGAACCUCGACUAUGGACUCCCUUUCUUGGCCAAGUAAUGUUGAUGCUCCAACCUCCCUCUCUUCUUCGAGGGCUUCUACCUUGUUCUUCAGCGUCUGGAUCGUCAUAGUAGCGUCCAACAACCUGAACUCCAAGGAAGUAAUAAAUUCCUUCAACUCUAAUUUCGUCCGCUUGCGUAGAUCCAACUCCUUCCGGAUGGCGUUAACUUCCUCAAGGGAAUUUUCUUCAAGGUCUUUAACAUCACAGUCCAACCCAUUCAAGCGCUGCCCCAAAAUCUCAACAGCAAGCCUUGCCCUCUCAACGUUGGCAAUCUAUUCAUGUCCAACAGUGACGUCUAUAACGUCUUUGCUGACGUCGUCUUCACUUUCCUCAUCUAUAUUCUGCUGGAAAGAUGUUUGUCUGUCGCCUGGUGGAGGAUCAUUUGGUGGCAGAUCGCUUGAUGGUAGACUGCCUGAUGGCAGACCGCAUGGUGGAAGACUGCCUGAUGGCAGACCACCUGGUGGAAGACUGCCUGUUGGCAGGCCGCUUGGUGGAAGACUUCUUGGUGGCAGGUCGCCUGGUGGAGGAUUGGGCAGACUGGGUUCGUUGCCCUUCUUAUUCUUUCCCUUCUUUUUCUUCUUUCCUCCCUGAACGUUGGGGGUGGUGCUAACGCCACUACCGUCUCCUUCGUUCGUCAUUCUCUUACGAUGAACCUGCUUUGAUACCAAACUGUCACGAACUUUUUGAUUCGGACAAUGUUCCGUGCGGAACUUGACGGUUUACUCACGACUCUUGCACGUUCUUGCAAACUCAAGUAAGCCUAGAACUCGGAUCGCUAAGAAAAUAAGAAGCAAGACAGAACUUUGGAAGAAGGAACUUCUAUUACUUGAAAAAUGAUUGGAUGCUUUACAAGUAAAAUGAACUACUAUUUAUACUACUCUAAUGCUGCCUAAGAGUAAGUAAAUAAACUAUACAAAUUCCUAAGUCUAUUCCUACAAGACAAGCUUCUAAGUCUUCCAAAAGGACUCCUAGAUGCUCCUAGUCUGCCCCAUGAUCUGCACAAGCCUCUCAAAGGCCUGAAACUCCUGAAACUGCUGCCCCACUAACAAGUGUAACAGCUGUAACGGCUGUAACUGCCGUAACAGCUGAAACUGUUGUAACGGCUGUCUCUUCACCUGCUGCUGGCCCCUUGGCUGCUGGCCUGCAUGGUCAGCCUGCCCCGUUGCGCCUGCUGGCUGCCUAGUUGGGUGGCGUUCAGCCUGAAUGGAUGGCGGGAUGUCACAAUGGGCUAUGAUGGCAUGCCACGCCCGACGUCGUUCGACCGUGUGUCUUGCCCAAUGGCAAAGAUGGCAUGCCACGCCCGACGUCGUUCGACCGUGUGUGCUGUCCAAAGGAGGUGAUGUCAUGCCACGCCCGAUAUAGUCCAACCGUGUGUGCUGCCCAAGGGCGGUGAUGUCAUGCCAUACCGGAUGUCGUCCGACCGUGUGUGCAGUUCAAGGGAGGUGAUGUCAUGCCAUGUUCGAUGUUGUCAACCGUGUGUGCUGUCCAAGGGCGGUGAUGUCAUGUAAUGCCCGACGCCGUCCGAUUGUGCGUGUGGUCCAAGGGCAAUGAUGUCAUGCCAUGCCUGACGUCGUUCAACCAUGUGUGCCAUCCAAGGGCGGUGAUGUCAUUCCACGCCAGAUGUCGUCCGACCGUGUGUGGAGUCUUAGGGCGGUGAUGUCAUGCCACGCCCGACAUCAUCCGACCGUGUGUGUUGUUUAAGGGAGGUGAUAGCAUGCCACUCCUGAUGUUGUCCGACCGUCUGUGCUGCCCAAAGGCGAUGAUGGCACGACACGCCUGAGGUCGUCCGACCGUGUGUGCUAUCCUAAGGAAGUGAUGGCAUGCCACGCCCGACGUCGUUCGAUCGUGUUUCCCAUCCAAGAGCGAUGAGCGCAUGCCACGCCGGACGCCGUCUAACUGUGUCAGCUAGUCCAAAGGCGAUGAUGGCAUGCCAUGCCCGACGUCAUUCAAACGUAUUUUCCGUCCAAGGACUAUGAUGGCAUGCCACGCCGAACGUCGUUCGACCGUAUGUGCUGUCCAAGGGCCAUGAUUGCAUGCGACGCCCGACGUCGUUUGACCGUGUUUGCCGUCCAAGGGCUAUGACGGCAUGCCACGUUGAUGUUUUUCGACCGUGUGUGCUGCCCAAAGGCAAUGAUGGCAUGCCACACCCGACGUCGUUUAAUCGUGUGUGCUGUCCAAAGGCGGUGAUGUCAUGCCACGCCUGACUUCGUUCGACCAUGUGUGCUACCGAAAGGCGAUGAUUGCAUGCCACGCCAGACGUCGUUCGAUCGUAUUUGCCGUCCAAAGCGAUGAAGGCAUGCCACGUCCGACGCUUUCCGACCGUUUCUGCCACCCUACUAUGAUGAUGGCAUGCCGCGCCCGAUGUCAUUUGACCGUGCGUCCAGUCCAAAGGCGGUGAUGGCAUGUCACGCCCGAAGUCAUUCGACCGUGUGUGCUGUCCAAAGGCGAUGAUGUCAUGCCAAGUCCAACAUCUUUCGACCGUGUGUGCAUCCCAAAGGCGAUGCUGGCAUGCCUGACGUCGUUCGACCGUGUGUUCUGCCCAAAGGUGAUUAUGGUAUGCAACGCCCGAUGUUGUCGACCGUGUGUGUUGUCCAAGUGCGGUGAUGUCAUGCCAUGCCUGACAUCGUCCGACCGUGCGUGCUGUCAAAAUGCGGUGAUGUCAUGCCACGCCCGAUGUCUUUCGACCGAUUGUGCUGCCCAAAGACGAUGAUGGCAUGCCACGCCCGACGUCGUUCGACCGUGUGUGCUGUCCAAAGGCGGUGAUGGCAUGUCACACCUGACGUCGUUUGAUCGUGUUUGCCGUCCAUGGGCUAUGAUGGCAUGCCAUGCCCGACAUGGUUCGACCGUUUAUGCUGCCCAAAGGCGAUGAUGGCAUGCCACGCUCGACGUCGUUCGACCGUGUGUGCUGCCCCAAGACGAUGUUGGAAUGCCACGCCCGACGUCGUUCAACCGUGUGUGCUGUCCAAAGGCGGUGAUGGAAUGUCAUGCCCGACGUCUUUCGACCGUGUGUGCAGUCCAAAGGCGGUGAUGUCAUGCCACGCCUGAUGUCAUUCAAUCGUGUGUGCUGUCCAAGGGCCAUGAUGGCAUGCCGCGCUCGACGUCGUUCGACCGUGUGUGCUGUCCAAAAGUAAUGAUGGCAUGCCACGCCCGACGUUGUUCGACCUUUUGUGCUCCCAUAGGCGAUGAUAGCAUGCCAUGCCCGACGUCUUUCGAUCGUGUAUGCUGCCCAAAGGCGAUGGUGGCAUGCCACGCCAGACGUCGUUUGACCGUUAGUGCUGCUCAAAGGUAAUGAUGGCAUGCCACGCCCCACAUCGUUUGACCGUGUGUGCUGCCCAAAGGUGAUGAUGGCAUGCCACGACCGACAUCGUUCGAACGUGUGUGCUGUCCACGGGCCAUGAUGGCAUGUCACGCCCGAUGUCAUUCGACCGUGUGUAUUGUCCAAAGGCGGUGAUGGCAUGCCACACCCGACGUCGUUCGACCGUGUGUGAUGCCCAAAGGUGAUGAUGGCAUGCCACGCUCGACGUCGUUCUACCGUGUGUGCUAUCCAAAGGUAGUGGUGGCAUGUCAUUCCCGACGUUGUUUGACCGUGUGUUUUGUCCAAAGGCGGUGAUUAUAUGCCAGGCUCGAUGUCUUUCGACCGUGUGUGUUGCCUAAAGGCGAUGAUGGCAUGCCACGCGUGACAUCGUUCGGCCGUAUGUGCUGUCCAAAGGCGGUGAUGGCAUGUCACGCCAGACGUCGUUCGACCGUGUUUGUCGUCAAUGGGCUAUGAUGGCAUGCCAAGCCCGACAUCGUUCGACCGUGUGUACUGCCCAAAGGCAAUGAUGGGAUGCCACGCCCAACGUCGUUCGACCAUGUGUGCUGUCCAAAGGCGGUGAUGUCAUGCCACGCCCGACGUAGUUCGACCGUGUCUGCUGCCCAAGGGCGGUGAUGUCAUGCCAUGCCGGAUGUCGUCCGACCGUGUGUGCUGUCCAAAGGCGGUGAUGUCAUACCAUGCCCAACGUUGUCGAUCAUGUGUGCUGUCCAAGGGCGGUGAUGUCAUGUAAUGCCCGACGCUGUUCGAUUGUUCAUGCGGUCUAACGGCGAUGAUGUCAUGCCAUGCCCGACGUCUUUCGAUCGUGUGUGCUGUCCAAGGGCCAUGAUGGCAUGCCACUCCCGAUGUUGUUUGACUGUGUGUGUUGUCCAAAGGCGGUGAUGGCAUGUCAUGCCCGAUGUCGUUCGACUGUGUUUGCUGUCCAAAGGCGGUGAUUUCAUGCCAGGCCCGAUGUCUUUUGACCGUGUGUGUUGCCUAAAGGCGAUGAUGGCAUGCCACGCCUGACAUCGUUCGACCGUAUGUGCUGUCUAAAGGCGGUGAUGGCAUGUCACGCCAGACGUCGUUCGACCGUGUUUGUCAUCUAUGGGCUAUGAUGGCAUGCCACGCCCGACGUCCAUCGACUGUGUGUGCUGCCCAAAGGCGAUGAUGGCAUGACAUGCCCGACGUCGUUCGACCAUGCGUGAUGUCCAAAGGCGGUGAUGUCAUGCCACGCCCGACAUAGUUCGACCGUGUGUGCUGCCCAAGGGCGAUGAUGUCAUGCCAUGCCAGAUGUCGUCCGAUCGUGUGUGUUGUCCAAGGGCGGUGAUGUCAUGGCAUGCCCGACGUUGUCGACCGUGUGUGCUGUCCAAGGGCGGUGUUGUCAUGUAAUGCCCGACGCCGUACGAUUGUGCGUGCGGUCCAAGGGUGAUGAUGUCAUUGCAUGCCCGUCGUUGUUUAACCGUGUGUGUCGUCCAAGGGCGGUGAUGUCAUUCCACGCUAGAUCUCGUUCGAUCGUGCGUGCAGUCCUAGGGCGGUGAGGUCAUGCCACGCCCGACGUCAUCCGACCGUGUGUGCUGUUUAAGGGCAGUGAUAGCAUGCCACUCCCGACGUCGUCCGACCGUCUAUGCUGCCCAAAGGCGAUGAUGGCAUGACAUGCCCGACGUCGUCCGAUCGUGUGUGCUGUCCUAAAGCAGUGAUGGCAUGCCACGCCCGAUGUCGUUCGACCGUGUUUCCCGUCCAAGGGCGAUGAGGGCAUGCCACGCCGGACGCCGUCCAACUGUGUCAGCUAGUCCAAAGGCGAUGAUGGCAUGCCACGCCCGACGCCAUUCGACCGUAUUUGCCGUCCAAGGGCUAUGAUGGCAUGCCACGCCGAACGUCGUUCGACCGUGUGUGCUGUCCAAGGACCAUGAUGGCAUGCCAUGCCCGACGUCGUUCAACCGUGUUUGCCGUCCAAGGGCUAUGAUGGCCUGCCACACCGACGUUGUUCGACCGUGUGCUACCCAAAGGCGAUGAUGGCAUGCCACGCCCGACGUCGUUCAAUCAUGUGUGCUGUCCAAAGGCAGUGAUGUCAUGCCACGCCUGACAUCGUUCGACCGUGUGUGCUACCCAAAGGCGAUGAUUGCAUGCCACGCCCGACGUCGUUCGACAGUGUGUGCUUUCCAAAGGCGGUAAUGGCAUGUCACACCUGACGUCGUUCGAUCGUGUUUGCCGUCCAUGGGCUAUGAUGGCAUGCCAUGCCCGACGUCUUUCGACCGUUUAUGCUGCCCAAAGGCGAUGAUGGCAUGCCACGCCCCACGUCGUUCGACCAUUUGUGCUGCCCAAAGAUGAUUUUGGCAUGCCAGGCCCAACGUCGUUCGACCGUGUGUGCUGUCCAAUAGCGGUGAUGGCAUGUCACGCCCGACGUCGUUCGACCGUAUGUGCUGUCCAAAGGCAGUGAUGUCAUGCCACACCUGACAUCGUUCAUUCCUGUGUGCUGUCCAAGGGCCAUGAUGGCAUGCCACGCUCGACGUCGUUCGACUGUGUGUGCUGCCCAAAGGUAAUGCUGGCAUGCCACGCCCGACGUUUUUCGACCUUUUAUGCUCCCCAAGGCGAUGACGGCAUGCCAUGCUCGACGUCUUUCGAUCGUGUGUGCUGCCCAAAGGCGAUGCAGGCAUGCCAUGCCAGACGUCAUUUGACUGUUUGUGCUGCCCAAAGGUAAUGAUGGCAUGCCACGCCCGGCAUCGUUCGACCUUUUGUGCUUCCCAAAGGCGAUGAUGGCAUGCCACGCCCGACAUCGUUCGACCGUGUGUGCUUCCCAAAGGUGAUGAUGGCAUGCCACACCCGACGUCGUUCGAUCGUGUAUGCUGUCCAAGGUCCAUGAUGGCAUGCCACGCCCGAUGUCGUUCGACCGUGUGUGUUGUCCAAAGGCGGUGAUGGCAUGUCACGCCUGACGUCAUUCGACCAUUUCUGCUACCCUACUAUGAUGAUUGCAUGCCACGCCCGAUAUCGUUCGACCGUGAGUGUAGUCCAAAGGCGGUGAUGGCAUGUCACGCCCGAGGUCAUUCGACCGUGUGUGCUGUCCAAAGGCGAUGAUGUCAUUCCAAGCCCAACGUCUUUCGACCGUGUGUGCAUCCCAAAGGCGAUGUUGGCAUGCUUGACGUCGUUCGACCGUGUGUUCUUCCCAAAGGUGAUUAUGGGAUACGACGCCCGACGUUGUCGACCGUGUGUGUUGUCCAAGUGCGGUGAUGUCAUGCCACGCCUGACAUCGUCUGACCUUGCGUGCUGUCCAAAUGCGGUGAUAUCAUGCCACGCCCGAUGUCGUUCGACCGUGUGUGUUGUGCAAAGGCGGUGAUAGCAUGUCACACCUGACGUCGUUCGAUUGUGUUUGCCGUCCAUGGGCUAUGAUGGCAUGCCAUGCCCGAUGUCGUUCAACCGUUUAUCCUGCCCAAAGGCGAUGAUGGCAUGCCACGUCCGACAUCGUUCGACCUUUUGUGCUUCCCAAAGGCGACGAUGGCAUGCAACUCCCGACAUCAUUCGACCAUGUGUGCUGCCCAAAGGUGAUGAUGGCAUGCCACUCCCGACGUCGUUCGAUCGUGUGUGCUGUCCAAGGGCCAUGAUGGCAUGCCAUGCCCGAUGUCAUUCGACCGUGUGUGUAGUCCAAGGGCGGUGAUGUCAUGCCAUGCACGACGUUGUUCGACUGUGUGUGUUGUUUAAGGGCGGUGAUGUCAUGCCUUGCCCGAUGUCAUCCCACCGUGCGUGCAGUCCAAGGGCGGUGAUGUCAUGCCACAUCCGACGUUGUCCGACCGUGUGUGAUGUCCAAGGGCGGUGAUGGCAUGCCAUGCCCGAUGUCUUCUGACUGUGUGUGCUGUCCAAGGGCGGUGAUGGCAUGCCACGCCCGACGUCGUUCGACUGUCAAUGCCGUCAAAGGGCGUUUUUUGCAGUCCAUGCCCAUUCUGCGCAGGCGUUGGCAGAUGCCGCUUGGCCGCGGACGUGCUGCAUACGCAGACCCAUUUGCCACUUGACAUCUAACUUGGCUUAAAAAUCGCACCCGACAUCUCAAAAACCUUUUAUAGUGACAUGUCAUUAGGCUUGAUAAAUGAACUCACCAUCACGAAAACCUCACAAUGGGGCUUAGUUAUAGGACAAGUGUUUGACCGUCGUAUGACGUCUAGCUCAACACUUAGUGGUAGACUAGUGAACUUCACGUGCCAUGUUACUUCCGAUACUUAUAUUUCAACACUUAGUUAUUUUUUCCCCUUCCAAGGAUGCAAGCAGCACGCGAACCUCUCAUUUGAAAAGUUAGAAAUGAUUGGAUUUGAUUUUGGGGGAGGGGGAGUGUGGGGGGGGGGACGAAUAGGAGCGGCAAAGGGCUGAAUCUCAGUGGAUCGUGGCAGUAAGGCCACUAUGCCACUUACAAUACCCCGUCGCGUAUUUAUGUCAUCUGCAAAGGAUUCUAUCCGCUGCUCCAUGGAAAUUGUACUUCAAGGCGGUCACCGCGACGCUUAUGUUGCGGCGACUUAGAAAACGACACGUGCCCUUGGGGGCCAUAGGCCCCUAAUGCGGGUCCGCAAGCGGACGGCGGGCGCAUGCGUCGCUUCUAGUCCGCAUUCUGAUUUAGAGGCGUUCAGUCAUAAUCCAGCACACGGUAGCUUCGCGCCACUGGCUUUUCAAAGGUAAAACUAUCCUGUCUCACGACGGUCUAAACCCAGCUCACGUUCCCUAUUGGUGGGUGAACAAUCAAACAUUUGGUGAAUUAUGCUUCACAGUGACCAAAAGAGCCGACAUCGAAGGAUGAAAAAGCAACGUCGCUGUUAACGCUUGGCUGCCACAAGCCAAUUAUCCCUGUGGUAACUUUUCUGAAAGCUCUAGCUUCGAAUUCCAAAGGUCUAAAGGAUCGUUAGGCCACGCUUUCACGAUUCGUAUUCGUACUGGAAAUCAGAAUCAAACGAGCUUUUACCUUUCUCUUACACACGAGAUUUCUUUUCUUGUUGAGCUCAUCUUAGGACACCUGCGUUAUCUUUUAACAGAUAUGCUGCCCUAGCAAAACUCCCCACCUGACAAUGUCUCUUCCCGGAUCGGCCCGCAAAGCGAGGCUUGGGUCCAAAAAGAGGGGUUGUGCCACGCUUCUGAUUCACGGAAUAAGUAAAAUAACAUUAAAAGUAGUGGUAUUUCACUUACGCCUUUCGGCUCCCACUUAUACUACACCUCUCAAGUCAUUUGACAAAGUCGGACUAGAGUCAAGCUCAAAAGGGUCUUCUUUCCCCGCUGAUUCUGCUAAGCCCAUUCUAUUGGUUGUGGUUUCGCUGGAUAGUAGACAGGCACAGAGGGAAUCUCGUUAAUCCAUUCAUGCGCGUCAAUAAUAAGAUGACGAGGCAUUUGGCUACUUUAAGAGAGUCAUAGUUACUCCUGCCGUUUAGCCGCACUUUGUUGAAUUUCUUCACUUUGACAUUCAGAGCACUGGGCAGAAAUCACAUUGCAUAAACAUUCGUUGGGACCAUCGCAAUGCUUUGUUUUAAUUAAAGAGUGCGAUUCCCCUUGUCCGUACCAGUUCUGAGUUGGCUGUUCGAUGCCCGGGGAAGGCCCCCGAAGGAACCGUUCCUUGUACGUCCCCAAUCCCGCACGCGGUGACGCGCUCUCGCCGUGGGAGCAGCUCGGGACUGGGAUCCACGUGCCCAUCCCUCAGAGCAAAUCCUUUUCCCGAAGUUACGGAUCCACUUUGCAGACUUCCCUUUCCUACAUUGUUCCAUCGACCAGAGGUUGUUCACCUUGGAGACCUAAUGCGGUUAGGAGUACGACCAGGCGUGGACGACAUUCGGUCCUCCAGAUUUUCAAGGGCCACCCUGAGCACACUGUAUACCACGCGACGUGCGGUGCUCUUCCAGCAGCUGGACCCUACAUUUGGCUGAGCCGAUUCCAUGGUGGGCAGGCUGUUAAACAUAAAAUAUAACUCUUCCCGAGGCUCCCGUCGACGUCUCUGGACAGCCCUGUGGCCGUAUAUGGCCUUACGUGCGCCGUGCGUGCGACGCCUAGAGUUAGCUGUAACAGGAGAUCUAGAACUCGCCACUCGCCCGAAAGCACUGUCGUUUCCACACCAAACGCUAGUAUAAACCGAUCUUGAGAAGUUCCCUCGGCGGAGCACGGUCUCCCCGCAGACAUCGGUAGCGUGUUUUUGUAAGCGCCCAACGGCGAAGCACGGACGAGCAAUCCAUGUUGUCAAGCGCCAACACAACACGCCUACUAAGCCCUCAGCACACCCUUGACGUCCGCCUACUUUCGCCUCAGUUGCCCCGCAGACGUCGCUGGCAUGUUUUUGUUGACACCCAACGGCAUAGCACGGACAAGCCAAGCAUGUCGUCAAGCGCCCAUGUAGCACGCCUACUAAGCCCAAAGGACGCCCAUGAUGUCCGCCUGCCACCGCCUCAAUCGCCCUGCAGACGUCGCGGACAUGUUUUUGUAAAUGGCCAACAGCGUAGCAUGGACAAGCCAUGCAUGCCUUCAAGCGCCCACGCAGCACGCCUACUAAGCCCAAAGGAUGCCCAUGACGUUUGCCUACCACCGCCUAAAACGCCCUGCAGACGUCACGGGCAUGUAUUUUGUAAACGCCCAACAGCGUAGCACCGACGAGCCAUGCAUGCCGUCAAGUGCCCACACAGCAUGCCUACUAAGCCCACAGGACGCCCUUGACGUUCGCCUGCCUUCGCCUCAGCCGCCCCGCAAACGUCACUAGCAUGUUUUUGUAGACGCCCAACGGCGUAGCAUAAAUGAGACAUGCAUGCCAUAAAGCCCCAAACAACACGCCUACUAAGCCCACAGGACGCCCAUGACGUCCGCCUGCCACCGCCUCAAUCGCCCUGCAGACGUCGCCGAUGUGUUUUUGUAAACGCCCAACGGCGUAGCAUGGACAAGCCAUGCAUGCCAUCAAGCGACCACGCAGCACGCCUACUAAGCCCAAGGGACGCCUAUGCCGUCUGCCUUCCUACGCCUCAGUCUGCAUCUAACACCUCUACCCCUUUUAUAUAUGCUUAAAAAAGUUUUACCCAUAUAACAGGAGUAGACAUUGAUUUUCCAGAGAAUCAUAAUAGAAAUGUACAACCCAAAUAUGCACGUUCUAAGGUACAAACACACAUAUGCUUUCACAAAUGACUUUAAUAUAUAUAUAUAAAAUAUUUUUUAACAUUUUUUUAUUUUUUUCAAAAUUUCCGAAAAAUUAGUUAUAAAUUAAUAAAAAAUAGGGAAAAUAUCGAAUAAAAUAUGUAAUGAACUCCGAAAAUUCACAAAUAAAUAUGGGAACCUUAAAAUAAAAAAUUUAAUAAGUUUUUAUUUUUAAAAGGAGACGUAAAAAAUUUAAAAGCGUAAAAAUAAAUUAUAAAAUAAUGCUUAAAAGUUGGAAAAAUACGGAAAUGCUCGAAAACACUUCUAAUCAUGUCAAAUUAAUGAUAAGAUACAUAUUUGCACAAAUAAAAGAUGUUUCAAUAUCGUACGAACCGUAGAAGUAAUGAAAAUGAUGCGAAAGAGCCACGUUAGGUGGAACCGUUAGAGAAUAGAUAAAAAAAUUGAUGAAUAUGUUUGUUAUGCAUGGGGGUUGUUUCAAAAUCCUUUGAUUCAUGUACGUCAUGAACAUACGCAUGUUUCGUCUAGUUAUCGAACAAUGUUGCGCAAGCCACGAUCUAUGCGGGACGGCCACGGUCAACCGUUCUGUGUAGGCACGUCCGACGACGACCGACCGUUUGUGCUGUCCAAGGGCUAUGACGGCAUGCCACGCCCGACGUAGGACGACUGUCUGUGCUGUCCAAGGGCGAUUAUGGCAUGCCACGCCCGACGCCUUCUGACCGUCUGUGCUGCCCAAGGGCGAAGAUGGCAUGCCACGCCCGACGUCGUCCGACCGUGUCAGCUAGUCCAAAGGCGACGAUGGCAUACGAUGCCUGAUGUUGUCCGACUGUGUCUGCUAGUCCAAAGGCGAUGAUGGCAUGCCACGCCCGACGUCGUCCGACCGUGUCUAUUUUCCAAGGGCUAUGAUGGAAUGCCACGCUUGACGACGGCCGACCCGCCGCGCCCUCCUACUCAUCGGGGCCUAGCACUUGCCCCGACGGCCGAGUGUAGGUCGCGCGCUUAAACGCCAUCCAUUUUCGGGGCUAGUUGAUUCGGCAGGUGAGUUGUUACACACUCCAUAGCGGAUUUCGACUUCCAUGACCACUGUCCUGCUGUCUUAAUCAACCAACACCCUUUGUGGGAUCUAGGUUAGCGCGCAGUUUGGCACCGUAACUCAGCUUCUGGUUCAUCCCGCGUCGCCAGUUCUGCAUACCAAAAAUAGCCCACUUGGAGCUCUUGAUUCCGUGGCGCGGCUCAACAAAGCAGCCACACCGUCCUACCUAUUUAAAGUUUGAGAAUAGGUCGAGGGCGUUGCUCCCCCAAGGACUCUAAUCAUUGGCUUUACCCGAUAGAACUUACACACGAGCUCCAGCUAUCCUCAGGGAAACUUCGGAUGGAACCAGCUACUAGACGGUUCGAUCAGUCUUUCGCCCCUAUUCCCAACUCAGAUGAUCGAUUUGCACGUCAGUAUCGCUGCGGGCCUCCACCAGAGUUUCCUCUGGCUUCGCCCCGCUCAGGCAUAGUUCACCAUCUUUUGGGUCCCGACAAGUAUGCUCACACUCAAAAACUUCUCAGAAGAUUAAGGUCGGUCAACGGUGCACCCCUCAGGGGAUCCAACCAAUUAGCUUCCUUACGCCUUACGGGUUUACUCGCUCGUUGACUAGUACACAUGUCAGACUCCUUGGUCCGUCUUUCAAGACGGGUUGAAUGGGAAGCCCACAAGCAAGAGUCCAGAGCGCGCAGAUGCCGAGCACACCGGAGGCGCGCGCUGCCUUCCCUAAUCGGGGAGACGGCGUUCCGCGGGCGUAUCGAGAGCCCAGGCUUUGGCCUCCCCCAUAAUCCACGCUGGUCCAUGCCUUGAGUCGAUCGGCGGACUGGCUCGUCACCAUUCAACAUCCGACCGUGGCGCAUCGCCGGCCCCCAUCCGCUUCCCUUCCAACAAUUUCAAGCACUGUUCGACUCUCUUUUCAAUGUCCUUUUCAUCUUUCCCUCGCGGUAUUUUUUCGCUAUCGGUCUCUCGCCAGUAUUUAUCCUUGGACGAAAUUCACUGCCCGAUUUGGGCUGCAUUCCAAAACAACCCUACUCGUAGACAAAGCCUCGUAAUGCGACAGGGUCCGGGCUCGACGGGGAUCUCACCUUCUUUAGGACCUCUUCUAGGGGACUGGGCCCGGUCUGCCUUUGAGGAUGCUUCUCCAGACUACCAUUCGGACGACGGAGCCGCCCAAUUCUAAGGCUGGGAUGUUCCCAAUUUGCUCUUCGUUACUAGGGGAAUCGGUGUAAGUUUCUUUUCCUUCGCUUAUUGAUAUGCCUAAACUCAGCGGGUAAUCCCUCCUGACAUGGGGCCGCGGUCGGAGCGCCUGGAGAGGCGCAGUGAGGGUCGGGGAGUCCGGACGCACAACGGGCUGUAGCUGCGACAACAAGAGAGUGUUGAGUUUCAACCACCACUUGCCGCGACAUUCGUCGACGUGGACUCACAUUUAGGCCGGCCACUCCUUCUGGGCGCACAGGAGGCCAGCUUCCGCCCCCUCACUCAUCUUUGCAACGUGCGCGGGGGGGAGGGGAGGGGGGUGAUGCGAUGCGUGACUCCUAGGCAGACGUGCCCUCGGCCAAAUGGCUUCGGGCGCAACUUGCGUUCAAAGACUCGAUGGUUCACGGGAUUCUGCAAUUCACACCAAGUAUCACAUUUCGCUACGUUCUUCAUCGAUGUGAGAGCUGAGAAAUCUGUUGUGGAGAGUCAUUCCCCCCCCAUGAUCCGCGAAUGGGGCGCGAGGGGAGGGCUGUCGAUUGUAGUAUUCCUAGACGCUUUCUGCGCUGGGGUUCGUUGGUCGCCCGAAGAUCCUGCGCGCAUCAGGCGACAGGAGGGAGGCGCGCGACGAGCGAGCGCCGCCCCCAGGUGUUUUAAACGAGUUUGCAAGUUAUUCUGCUGUGAAGGUUUCGGCAAUGAUCCUUCCACAGGUUCACCUACGGAAACCUUGUUACGACUUCUCCUUCCUCUAAAUAAUAAGGUCCAAUGGACUUCUCGUGACGUUGUGGGCAGCGAACCGCCCACGUCGCCGCGAUCCGAACAUUUCACCAGAUCAUUCAAAUGGUAGGAGCGACGGGCGGUGUGUAUAAAGGGCAAGGACGUUGUCAACGCAAGCUUGUGACUCACGCUUACUAGAAAUUCCUCGUUGAAGACCAACAAUUGCAAUGAUUUAUCCCCAUCACGAUGAAAUUUCAAAGAUUACCCGGUCCUGUCAGCCGAGGCUAUAAGCUCAUUGAAUACAUCAGUGUAGCGCGCGUGCGGCUCAUAAAAUCUAAGGGCAUCGCAGACCUGUUAUUGCCUCAAACUUGCACGGCCUAAAAGGCCGUAGUCCCUCUAAGAAGCUGGCCGCGAAGGGAUACCUCCGCAUAGCUAGUUAGUAGGCUGAGGUCUCGUUCGUUAAAAGAAUUAACCAGACAAAUCGCUCCACCAACUAAGAACGACCAUGCACCACUACCGUAGAAUCAAGAAAGAGCUCUUAGUCUGUCAAUCCUUACUAUGUCUAGACCUGGUAAGUUUCCCCGUGUUGAGUCAAAUUAAGCAGUAGGCUCCACUCUUGGUGGUGCCCUUCCGUCAAUUCCUUUAAGUUUCGGCCUUACGACCAUACUCCCCCCGGAACCCAAAAACUUUGAUUUCUCAUAAG